UUGCUUCCUCUUGCUCAAGCAUUUUUUAAGCUGUCAAUUGAUAAUGUUAGUCCUAGGCUUGGUACUAGGUCUAAUCUGUCUUCACAAGAUAUUGUGGUUGUUGCUAUGAUCAUGGCGGGUCGAAAGUUUGAUUUGCCAGAUUUGAUUCUUAAAAACAUGUUGGAUGCAGUUGAGGGUAAAUCUUCUGGGGGUUUACCAUAUGGGUUACUUUUAACCAGGGUUUUUGAAUGGUUUGGAGUGUCAUUUGUUGAUGAGGACACUAUUACUGCUAAAGAAUUUUUGGAUGUUAAGUUUCUCUCUCAGUCAAAUUUGAAGUUGGAUAAGGAUGGGAAUCUGGUUGUGGUUGAAAUUCCUCCACCUCCACCUCCUACACAUUCUGUGAACGUUGUUGAUUUGGGAAUCUCUGCGCAAGAGAUUCAGGAAUAUAUGGAAGAGCUUCGUACUAAUCAUCAGCAGCUGGUGGACGGGCAAAAGCAGUUAUCUGAGAAGAUGGGUGAGUUGAAUACUCAGUUUGCUUUUUGGAAAGACAUGAUGUUUGGGGCUCGAACGUCUACUGCGUCUGAGAAGUGCAGUUCUGGAAGCUUUGCUUAUGAACUCUACAAAAGGAUUUAUGGCUCCGGGGGUUCAUCUGAUGUGAAGGCUACUUUCACUUCAGAGGAUGAUACUACUGAUAGCCCACGGCCGAGAACAGCUAUGGAUGCUUUGAAGGAGGCUGCUGGAACGGACUCCAAGUAUGCUGCUGCAGGGGAAGAAAUGCUAGCUCGGAAUGUGAUUGCGGCAGAGCUUGUCAAGAAGUUUGGACUGGAGAAGGAUGAUCAGGACAAGGCUGGAUCUUGAUUUUCUCACCUUUUUAAUGAUUAAGGGGGAGGAAAUUAGGAAAUUAAUAAUACUUUGCUUAAGUUUGUGUUAUCUGCUUAAGUACAUUAUUGGCCCUAAGUUUUAUUUUGCUUUAAAGACUAAGUUUUACUGGUUGGUUUGGAUUUGAAUUUGCUGGUCUCAGGUGGUUUAUCCUGAGUUAACUUGGUUUGUUUUCUUUGGAUAAUUUUGUUGGAUACCAGGUGGUUUAUCCUGGUUAAUUAUCUAUGCAAGUUGCUUUGAUUAAUUGCUUUCUGUGUUAAAUAUUGCAUAUUUGUGAAUAUCUGUGAAUUAGAUAUAUCUGCUAGAUUUUAUUCUCUGUGAUAAUUGUGAAAGUUUAGUGAUAUUAGAUUGCUAUAUUUAGGGGGAGUUUAUUACUUUUUCCUAAUAUAGUGUAAUCAUCAAAAAGGGGGAGAUUGAUACUCUCAAGGUUUUGAUGAUGACACUAACAGCAAGCUAAUAACAUGAAACUGAUAUGUGUAAGCAUGCUAUCAAAGGUUGUUUAUGCGGACUAACAGUAUUUCAGGAUGUUAGCAUGAUUAUAGCUGUCAGCAAGCUUACAGGAAUAUUUACAAGCUAUCAGCAGGCUUACAGCGUGAACAGAGAAACAAUCGGAUAAAGAUCAAAGUCUAUUUUCAAGGAGAUUUAAUAGGAAACGACUUUGUAAGGAUUCUAAUAUUUAUAUAUAUCUGAUAUAAAUAUUAGAGCUCAGUUUUAUAAAGAGUUUCGUUCAAAAACGUUUUCCUAACAAAUAGGAGAUUUUAUUUCAAAUCGAUCUUAUCUUUAACAAACUCCUAUUUUGUUUCAAACGGGUUUUUUUUUUUAAAUUCUUUACUGAGAUGAUUUCAAACGUGACUUAUCUUUUACUCAGUAAUCUUACUUCAUUCAAACGUUCAUCAUUCAAUUCAAAUUUAAACGUGAGGUUGUUACCAAGAUCGUUGGGAAAUUUGUUGGAUUAUGACCGUUGGUAUGAUGUAUAUAAAUUUGUGUGUGCUUUCAUUUUCGGUAGAGAACAAGGAGAACACACCAAGCUUUCUGAAAUACAACUCUUUACAUUGCUAAAUCUUUUAUUGAGCUCUAGUACUUAUAUUUGCAUAUAUAUCUAUAUUGAGAGUUCAUAGUUUCGGUUGUAUUACACUUAUUCAUUGUAUUGUUCAAGGUGUAAUGUUUUGUUGCUGUGUAUCGAGCUUGUGAAACAAGGGAACAAGGGAACUAGUUAGCUAGGAGAGUAUACUUGGGAAGUAUAGGUCUUGGUAGGCUUUUGGUUCGUGGUUCAGGGGUUUCAGCAGGCUGAUAACAGGAACAAGGGAGAAAGGGAGUUAUAUUAUUGAAUCUUGUAAUCGUUGAUAUUAUUGAUUAAUAAUAUAAUCUCUUACCAGUUGGUAGGGGACCAGGACGUAGACCAUUAGGGUUAGGGGUCGAACCUGGCUAAAAUUCUUGGUGUUGCUAGCAUACUGCUUUACAUUAUCUGCAUUGCAUUUAUCUUAUUAGCAGGCUAACUGUUUACUCUGAAAAUUAACAGCAGGCUGUCUUUGACAGGUUAAUUAUUCGGUAACUUAUAAAAAUCGGGUAUAUUAGCCAUAACACUUAAAAUUGAUGCUACAAAAGUAAUUGACCUACUUAAAAUGUUUUAGUUUUAGUAUGUAACUGAAUUAUGACUACAUAUGUAUUCCUUUAUUGAUGUAUUACUUUAAGGCUAAUUAUUUCUCAACAUAUUCACCUUAAUUCUAUAAUUAAGGAAUUGAUAGAAGUUUUAUAAUACGUAUAAUCAGGUUAAGUUUAUAAUUAUUUAUGUUUCUAAAUUCAAAGAUUUAUAUAGUCCGUGUCGUCAUAAUUUCCGUUGUGUGUUUUUUUUUUUAAAUUGACAUUCGUAUAUAUUAUUUUUAACAUUUGCAACGUAUUGAUCGUCAAUAACAUAACUCGAGUAUUUUGAAUGUUACAUACGUUAGUUUUCAUAACUUAUAUCUCAUAUCAUACUGUUUGUUAAUAAAAAAUUUAUAGUUUAACUAGAUAAAAAAAAAUCAUACCCGUGUGCGUAGCACGGGCGAAAAUGCUACAUGUAUAUUUUUAUUUAAAUAAAUUUUUCAUAAAUGAGAAAAUUUUCAUUUAAAUAACUAAACAAUAAAAUUUUUACAUAUAGUUUAUUAUAGUUUUUGUUGUUUUAUUUAAGAUUCGAGGCGUCGCCAUUAGGCGACGCCGAGAAAUUUUAAUUAUAUAGUCAUUACUAUUUUUCAUAUCUUUUAUAAAUGUUUUAGAAACAAUUAUCGAAUAUUUUUUUAUUAUUUUAACUAUACAAAUAAUGAUUUGAUCAUAGAUUCAUGAACAUAUAAAUUUUUAUUCCAAACAUGAAAUAUUAUUAUUAUAUUAAAUAUUUGGUUAUUGUAAUGAUAUUAAUGAAAAAUCUAUUCCGUUAUAAAAUCAAUACAGAAUCUAUUCCAUUAUAGAUAUUUAUCACGUAUAUUCUCUUAGUAUCAAUUUUCAAUAUAGGCAAUAAUUAUAGCAUUAUAUAAUUUUAGUAAUGUAACUAAAUUAUGAAUACAUAUGUAUUCCCUAAUUGAUGUAUUACUUUAAGGUUAAUUAUUUCUUAACAUAUUUAUCAAUUUUUAUUAAGGACGGGAGGAAACUCUAUCAUCAGCAUAUUCACCUUAAUUUUAUAAUUGAGGAAUGGAUGGAAGCUCUGUAAUCUGCAUAAUCAGGUUAAGUUAAUAAUUAUAUAUAUUUCUAAAUACAAAGAUUUAUAUAGUCCGCGUCGUUAUAAUUUCUGUUGCGUGAUUUUAUUUUUUCAAUCGACAUUUGUAUAUAUUAUUUUUAACAUCUACAACGUACUGUUCGCUAAUAACAAAACUCGAGUAUUUUGACUCUUACGUACGUUGCUUUCAUAACUUAUAUCUCAUAUCAUACUGUUUGUUAAUAAAAAUGUAUAGGUUAACUCGAUAAAAAAAACAAAAAACAUACACGUGUGCGUAGCACGAGACAAAAUGGUAAUAAACAUUUAAAAUUCUAUAAUUUAAAACUCAUAAUAAAUAAUUUGACUGCGCUGAUUACCCGCCAGAUUUGGGGUUAAUCACGACAUAAAGUAUAGAUUAAGUUUUUUUUUUAAAAGCAAAGUAUAGAUUAAGUCGAUAAAAAUCAAAGAAUCAAUACCGUGUGCGUAGCACGGGCCAAAAAAGCUAGUCUUAUUAAAAAAUGCAUAAACAAAAUUCAGGAUGUGUAUGAAGCAUCAUCCUAAUUUUAAUACUUAUUCAAAAUAUAUUAGUAUGAAGAAAGUGAAUAUAAUAUAUAAUAAUGGAUUAUUUAUUAUUGAUGAUAAAAAUAAUGAUUGUUAUAUAAGCUAAUCUUUUAGUUUAAUAUAUAUAAGUGAUUUAUAUUGUAAAUUAAGUUAUAAUAUAAUUCUCAACUACCCCUUUCAAAACGUCUAGGUUAUUUAAAUAUUAAUUUAUGAGUUAAUAUUAUUAACAAAUUAUAAAUUAUUUAUACAGCAAAGUCGAUUAUUCUUGCAUAAUUAUUAUACAAAGGUUCCUCGGCAUGGCCGAGCGGCCACUCGACUUUUAAAUAUGUAUAUUUUUAAUAUUAUUAUCAAUCGAUUCUAAUAAUAUAAUAAGUGAUUUAAAUUUAAUGAAUUUAUAUAUGAAAUGCUUAUUUUUUUAAUACUAAUUAAUUUAUAAUAAUAAUAAUAAUAUUAAGUGNUUGCUGGACCCAACAAAUUAGGCUAUUAAUAUAUGUUAAAUUUAUAUAUAUAUAUAUAUAUAUAUAUAUAUAUAUAUAUAUUAUGUGGUAAUAUUAUUAAUAAAUUAUGAAUUUUUGUAUUGUAAAUCAAUUAUUCUUGCAUCACUAUUAUAAAAAGGUUCCUCGGCAUGGCCGAGCGGCCAUGCCUCAGAUUUUUAAAUAUGUAUACUUUAAAUAUUAUCAUGAUUUUUAAAUUUAUAAAAUUACAUAACUACUUGAAAUAGAUGUUCAAAUUUUAAUAAGUGAUAUACAAAUAAAUUUAUCAUUUUAAGUGUCAAUUUGAGUUAACAUACUAUUAACCGAGAUAAUGAUAUGAUCAAUAUUGUUCUAUAAAUAUAAAUAUAUGAAACAUUAUUGAUGCCAAUCGACAGAAGAAGAAAAUAUAUUUGUAUUAAACCAUUGGCUGCCAGUGAGAGAACAAAAUUCUUGUAUUCCAGUCUGCAUUAACUUUAAUAAUUCAUCAGAUAGUCUUCCUGUGUGUUACUAAUAGUAACAUAUCUAAACAACACUUGUACAUUAACAAAACCAACAUAACAGUACAACCUGUUUUAACAAAGACAUAACACAACUGUUAAGAUAUAUCUUAUAUAGUUCAAUCUUUCAUAGGCCUACUCUCUUUCUACAUUAACUGACUAAAAAAUAUUAAUUAUAGCUAAUCCCACCCUCAAAGCAACCGGAUCUUGCCAUGAGAUCUUUCUCUUUACCGCACGAUUGGAACCGUGUCCUACGUUUCUACAAAGAGAUAACUUCAACUCAGAUAGCUUGUCUUGCCUUGCCAUCUCACAACUAUCCUGGUAUUCCUCUUCUGCUACCUGCCAAACUUGUCAAAUGGCAUUCCAUGGUAAAUACGUAAAAAUACGGAGGAGUGGGUAGUCUUUAACAGGGUAAACACACAACAGCUUUUACUUUUAUAUAUAUUAUAGAUAGAUAGAUAUUGAUGGUCACACCACUUUACCCACUUUUCAUCUAAUUUUACUCAUUUUUUAUACAUUGUCUUGGUCAAUGCAGGGGACGGAGGGAGUAUGAGGCAGUCAAAACUAUAUAACAUCUUGUGUUUUGUUUACAGCCUUGGUUCAACCCAUCUCCAGACCCGUCCCGUACCGGUUACAACCACUUGCCCACUUGGUAUGCUCCGAAUUCAAGAACAUUUGUAUCGAUUUUCCAAGAAUAUUCAUAUCUGUAAUGUUCGAACUUUGAAUGUUUAGAAGUUGAGUGCUAUUGCAUAAGAUAUACAAGCUGCCUGAAAUAUACAAGCUCUUUUCAAGAUUUGAUUAGUUAGCUAAUCUCCUCGUUUGGAUUUUAAUCAUGUAAGUCAUGUUUCUCGUUUUCUUUUUCUUCCUAAUGGUUCUUUCCUUUAUGUACAUGCUUUGAGGUUUUCUUAAUUUAAUCUUAUAUAUAAUCUGUACUUGAUAUUGAAUGAUUCUUGAUUCUUGAUUGUGAUGAAGUUAUUGUCAAUCUGAUUGUUUCUUUAAUUGAUCUUAUAUAUAAUAUGAACUUUGUUUAUCUUUGAUUCUUGAUUUUUUGAUUGUGAUGAAAUUAAUCUUUAAUUGGUUGUUAUAUUAAUGAUCAUCAUCACAUGUAUAGAUGAAUACUGACUGGGAAUUAUGUGUGGGUAGGUUAGAUGAAGAAAUAGCAUUAGAUGCAAUCAAACAUGCUUUGAGGGCUCUUCGGAAACGCCAUUUGGUUGAAGAAGCAGCUCAUGGGCCUGCUUACAUUGCUCUUUCUAGGCCCUUUAUAUCUCAGGUUAGACUCUAUCGGUAAUUAUUGGAAUUAUCUUUUGCCGAUCCUGAGUAAUGUAAUGUAAUAUUGAUAUAAUUACGUCAUUGAACUUGAAAAGGGUUCAGAAUGGAAGGAGAAAGCAGAAAGUCUUGAAACUGAACUUCAACAAUGUUAUAAAGCCCAAUCCCGAUUAUCGGAACAGCUUGUUGUGGAAGUUGCUGAAUCUAGAGCUUCGAAAUCGUUACUGCAAGACAAAGAAGAUUUAAUUGCCAGUUUGCAAAAUGAAUGUAGUCAGUCAAGGUUGGCUUUAACCAAACUCUAUUCAUGUAUUAUGUAUAUCUUCUUUUGGUAAAUGAGGUAGUAUAUGUCAAUAUGUGUGAUUGAAUUGGUUUUCAUGCUGCAGAGAUGAAUGCACUCGUCUAAAAGAACUUUUAGAUGAAAAGACGCAAGCUGUAGAACUGCUUACAAGCGAGAACCAGGAACUCAAGGCUCAACUUGAAGAGACGAGGGUCAGAGCUGAUACUGCUCAGGCUGAAAAUAAAAUGCUAAUUGAUCGCUGGAUGUUGCAAAAGAUGCAGGAUGCUGAAAAGCUUAAUGAGGUAAUUCGGCGUUAUUCAUAAAGUUAAUGUCAGUAAUCCUCACUUAUGGCAUGCAGUAUUAUUUCCUGGCUUGGCUCUCUUAAAUGUCUAUAUUAGUUGGUGUCAAUAUGACAAUCUUUAUGCUAUAACUGAACUUAUUACUUUGUAAAGGUAUAUAUGUUAACAAGGUAUUAUUACUUUGUUUAGCUGAUCAGCAAAGCUUUUCUUGGUUGAAGUGUUGAACUAUAUCACUGAUGAACUUUACACUGACAAUUAUCCCCUCUUAAAUCUUACUAAUAUCAAUCAUCCUCAAAAAAAUAUACUAUAUCUUUAGCAUUUCAAAAAAAGAAGAAGUGAGCGUCGGUAUAUAAAAAAGGGCAAUAGUUUGGGAUGGUGCUCAGUGCUGGAAAUGAAGAUUGUUAUUUACUCUAUUUUUUCCUUCGUAUCAACUUACAAGUCCCAGUAUACUCUUUUUCCACUUAUACUUCAAUAACAUCUACAUUUUAUAGAGUAAAGGUUAUUGCCUUUAUAUUAAUUUGUACUCUAAGCUUGAGUGCUGACCAUUUUCUUAAUGCUAUUUAAGUUUGUAUAGUUAUUGUUCAUUGGUGGGGCAAUGAAUUGUCUAGCUAUGUUACCUGGAGGGUAUGUGUGUCGGACACAUGUAUGAAUUUAAGUGUCAGAUUUAUAGUUUUAAAAAAAUCAGGAUUCUUGGAUAUAGUCUAUAGAUGCAAAAUUGGACAUGGGUACAGGGACUGGCAUAUAAACCUUGACAUAAGUUUUUUUUGUUUGUUUAUAUUGUGCAUUUUAAAAAAUUGUGCCUUUUACCAAUAUAACAUAACAUAAUUAUACUAAUGACCUCUUGGUCAUAUGGUAUUCCUCUUGCUUCUUUUACCAGAUGUCAAGGGUUCAAAUGUGCAAAAAAUAAUUUAAUUGGCUGCACAAGCUUUAUUAUCAUUCGAAUAGAACUUGUUGAUAUGAUUAUUGUUGUGUUAUACGGAGUCUUGAUGAGCUUGGUACUCAAAUAGCCUAAGAGAUAAGUUCUGCCCUUCCAGUAAUAGAACUUGUUGAUAUGAUUAUUGUUGUGUUGUAUGGAGUCAUGAUGAGCUUGGUACUCAAAUAGCCUAAGAGAUAAGUUCUGCCCUUCCAGUAAUCUCUUACUUCAGUUGAAAACUCUCUUAAAUCUAACACAGGUUUUGUGGGAACAAAUUAUUAUCCAUGUUAUAGGCGAAUGCUGUUUAUGAGGAUAUGAUUGAUAAGCUCAAGGCAAGCAGUAUAGAACAGCUGGCGCGGCAGCAAGUGGAUGGUGUGGUUCGCCAGAGUGAAGAAGGUGCUGAGUAUUAUGUGGAGUCUACUAUUCCUACUGCAAACAAACACAAGAUCUCUGCUCAUCAGGGUGGAUGUGCUGCCUUGGUAUUUGAGUAUAACUCUAACAUAUUGAUAAGUGGGGGCCAGGACCAGACUAUUAAAAUGUGGGACACAAGUUCUGGUUCACUGAUCCGCACACUGCAUGGUUGUUUGGGCUCUGUUCUUGAUCUGGCAAUCACCCACGAAAAUAGUUCUAUUAUUGCUGCAAGUAGCUCAAACAAGUUGUUUGUUUGGGAUAAAGAUUCUGGCCGGCUUCGGCAUACCCUGACAGGCCAUGUUGAUAAAGUAUGUGCUGUAGAUGUGAGUAAAUUCUCAAGUCGUCAUGUCGCCAGUGCUGCCUAUGACCGGACAAUAAAAAUUUGGGAUUUGCAGAGAGGCUAUUGCACUAAUACGAUUAUUUUCCCUAGUAACUGCAACGCACUUUCUUUUGGCAUGGAUGGACAUACUAUAUGCUCUGGUCAUGUUGAUGGACAUCUUCGAUUGUGGGACAUUCAGACAGGAAAGCUACUUAGUGAAGUCGCUGCACAUUCACUUGCGAUUACAUCAAUAUCCUUAGCAAGAAAUGGAAAUGUAAUAUUGACAAGCGGCAGAGAUAAUGUUCAUAAUUUGUUCGAUAUGCGAACUUUAGAGGUCUGUGGGACAUUAAGAGCAAGCGGGAACAGAAUGGCUUCUAAUUGGAGCAGGUCGUGCAUUAGUGCAGAUGACAAUUAUGUCGCAGCUGGCUCAGCUGAUGGAUCUGUCCAUGUCUGGUCGAUAUCUAAAGCUAGUAUUGUCAGCACUCUGAAGGAACACAAUUCAUCUGUUCUCUGUUGUUCAUGGAGCGGACUCGGAAAACCUCUAGCCACAGCUGACAGGAGUGGAACAAUCUGUACAUGGACGUGAUGAACUUGUUAAUUGCGGUGGCGCCAUACUGGAGAUCACAUGUACAUAUGUGUUUUGUAUAUUGGUAUCAUGUUCAUUGACUAAGUUCCGUUAAAUUUGUUCAUUAAAGGAUUUGCAUCACACAUAAGUACACUACCAUCAAGUAUAUAAACUGGCUUUAUAUACUCCUAGUAUGCUAAUACCCCAAAAUUAGUCUCUUCUGAGUUGAGACUUGUAAUAAUAAUUCAAUUUCAUGUACAGUGUACAUUACGCAAGCGGCAACACUAUACUUACAAGCCAAGCGAACUCUUUGAUUAUUAGAUAUUCAAUUUAGCAUGAUAGACAUAAAUAACAAGUACUUUUAAUUCCCACCAUCAAAUCUUGUUGUAAAAUCCAUAGCAACAAAACUAUAUUUAGUAUCUACACCCAAUAAUGUUCUUGGCUUUUGCGUGCAGAUCAUCACCCCAUCACAAAUUUAAGCAGUACCUUCAGAGAAUCUACAACUCUCACUAAUGCAAACAAAACUUGUGAACUCAAAACACCUUGUUACUCUAUCUUAGUUUAACAUCUAUCAUUCAAAAUGUUCUUCCACAAUUUUCAUACCAAAUCUUAUUCUCCACCACCAUUAUUACUGCUUGUUCAUGCCCGUAAGAAACCUUCAACUCUAACUCUAUUAUUGAUGAACAAUCGCUUCUAUAAUCGAACCACCUCUGUCUUUAUGUUCAGAAUCUGCUAUAUAAAGAGGCAUUGUCGAUUGCAGUUUCUCUCAUCUUGUAACAAAAACUAGUUUAUAUCAUCAUGGAAGCAAAGAAGCUUGUUCUGGUUUUCCUAUCUCUGGCUUUGGUUCUUGGUCUUUGUCAGAGUUUCGAGUAUCAUGACAAGGAGUUGGAGACGGAAGAAGGGUUGUGGGGUAUGUAUGAGAGGUGGAGGAGCCACCACACGGUGUCGACGAGUCUCGAGGACAAGCACAAGCGAUUCAAUGUGUUUAAGGCCAAUGUUGAACAUGUUCACAGGACAAACAAGUUGGAUAAGCCUUACAAGCUGAAGCUAAACAAGUUUGCACACAUGACUAACUAUGAGUUCCGGAGCCUCUAUGCUGGCUCUAAAGUGAACCAUCAUCGUAGGUUCCGGGGCGAGAAAACAGGAAAUUCAACCUUUAUGUAUGAAAAUGUGCACCGUGUUCCUCUGUCAGUCGAUUGGAGGAAGAAAGGAGCUGUUACACCUGUCAAAGAUCAGGGCCAAUGUGGUAAGUAAAUUACACAUGCUUAAAUAUUGUUUCUCAACAGAUUCUGUUAAUUUUUUAAUUGUGAUUCCAGAAAUUGUCGACAAUUUUGUGUUUCAGGUAGCUGCUGGGCAUUUUCAACAGUUGUAGCGGUUGAGGGAAUAAACUACUUGAAAACGAAUAAGUUAGUUUCAUUAUCUGAGCAAGAACUCAUCGACUGUGACACCGAACAGAACCAAGGUUGUAGCGGGGGAUUGAUGGACUCAGCAUUUGCUUUCAUCAAGACCAAGGGGGGUCUUACAACAGAGGCCAAGUAUCCUUACAGGGCUGAAGAUGGGAACUGUGAUGUUUCUUUGGUAUGAAAUAAGUCAUUAUACUUUUCCACUGUUUGUAUAUUUAAUACUCCCUUCGGCCUAUUUUAAAUGAACCUUUCAAUUUAUAGCAUCCAUUUAAGAUUAUUAUAACAACUCAUUCAUAUACUAUCCUUUUUAACAUCCACUAACUCAUUUUAUGUGGUCCAAAUUGAAGUCAAACAUUCAACUUUUAAAAAACGUGCUUGUCAAACUAACUCAGAUAAAAUGGGACGUAAGGAGUAUAAUUUGAACACGUAUUUAACAUUCAAUCUGUCAUGCAGGCUAGUGCACCAGCAGUUUCAAUAGAUGGACAUGAAGAUGUCCCUGCUAAUGAUGAAAAUGCAUUGAUGAAAGCCGUGGCAAACCAACCUAUCUCUGUGGCUAUUGAUGCUGGGGGUUAUGAUUUCCAGUUCUACUCGGAGGUAUUUAGUUAUUUAUACUUGUGCAAUUCAAAACCUGCAGUAGUACGUACUUGUAUAUUAUCGCGAAUGGAUAGACCUAACAAAAGAGCCUUGAUGACAGGGAGUAUUCAAUGGAGAUUGUGGAACGGACCUGGAUCAUGGAGUUGCAGUUGUAGGCUAUGGAACGACGCUGGAUGGAACUAAAUACUGGACAGUGAAGAAUUCAUGGGGAGCUGAAUGGGGAGAGAGGGGCUACAUAAGAAUGAAGCGAGGCAUAUCUGCUAGCGAAGGACUCUGUGGUAUCGCGAUGGAGGCUUCAUAUCCGAUCAAAAGCUCAUCAAGUAACCCUAGUGGUUAUAUGUCUGCUCUCAAAGAUGAGCUUUGAAGCCACAUAUGUAAAGAUUAUCAUCUAAAUUUCUGCACAAGUCUGGUUAUGCAUCACUUCUUAGGACUAAAAAGAUGGCAUAGUGUCAUAUAGUGUAACAAAUCAUUAGUUAUGAUUGUAUGGGGAUGAAAUAAAUUCUCUCUGGUCUAUUACCAUUGGUUUAUGUUGUGAUGUUUAAGUUUAGGUAUAUAGCAUCUAGAAUUUGAAAACUAUGAGAUCGAAGAAAGAAGCCACACCUUUUAAAGAAAAUUCUAAUACUACAGGAUCCAAUCUCCGUGGAAAUUCCAAUUUUCGAAAGGGUGCUCAACUGUUAUGACGGGUGGUUUGGUUCAUGGUUCAAUCGAAAUCUAAAAUCUGCGAAUUUAUGUUUAAACUAGUAAUUUUAUUGUAUGAAAUGAAACAUUAUUCUCGCUUGAUGGUAAACUCAUUUCGUUUUUUUGGGAUACCCAUCAUUCCUUUUAACUUUUAGGAUAUCUAUUAUUCCUGUAAUUCUUAUUGUCAAUCCUGAUUAUCAUUCCCACCUACUAUUCAAACAUCUAGAAUGAAACAUCUAGAAUGUGAAAUAAAUGAAAUGAAAUCAUGUUAUGUGUAAUUGUUUAUAAAUUUUUGGGACGUUUGGAUGAUAGAUGAGAAUGAGAAUAAAUAUGUCAAAUAAUGUAGAAUGAAUGAUUUACCAAUCAUUUGGGAAUGAAAUUCCCACAUCAUAUCACAAAAUGACUAAUCCAAAAACUAAAACAUGAAUUUGAGAUUUCGUUUUUCGUUAAUCGAACUCAUUAAUCAUGAACUAGCUCAUGUCAUUCUUUCCUCCGUUCAUUAUAGUUGUGCCGGAGAUCAUGCCCCUAUUUUGAAAUGAAAUACUUUAGCUUCUAUAUUUAGUAUAUUUUCAGAUCUCGUCAUAAUAUUUUUGAAUUACUUAAUUUUUUCACAAUUUUUUCCUCUUGUCACCUAUAAAAUUUUAUUAGGAAUAACGAGAACCAACUCCGUUAGACAGUUGGCAGCUAAUUGAAAGAUGUUAUUACUUCAGACCUAAAUAAUAUUCAAGCACCAUAACAUGAAUAAACUUUUUCCGGAGUUUGGACCCUUUUCUCAAGUUUGAGUACGGAAAAUACCAUCGGCCCAAUGCAAUUUUUGACAGAAUAAUGGGCUGAAAGCAAAUAUGGAUGUUGGUCGCUUGGUCUUGUUAAUUAUUAAGUGACUCCAUAAACUUUAACUAAAGGGCUUUGUCAAAUGGGGAAGACACGUAUUAUAGUUAUGCAAUAUCCAUAAUGUCAGCUGGGUGAUAGCUUCUUAUUGAAAAAAAUAAAAAUCUGAAGCAUAUUGAUGAUCAGCGACUUGACAAAGUGCAGGUAUCUAACAUAUCAACCUAAUAAGUAGAGUCUUCAAAAAUAAAUGACACUUUUUGUUAGCCCUAUUGACCAGGGUACGUAUGUGUGAUUCGCGACCUUCAUCUAAUCGGUUAUCUGUCUUAAUUCUAAUAAUGUGUCUAUUUAAUUGAGUGCUCCCUCUUGAAUAAACCAGUGAGCAAGAAGACAUGUCAACAUGAGCCUACGUUAACAUCAUCUAACAAUUGGUUCUACCAUUACAUCAGCUCAUCAUAAUAUAAAGGUAUUAUAUAUAAAACAUUACAUUGGAGAUGUGAUUAAGAAUAGUGAGUUGCGGCAAGAUUUGUGAUUGGUUUGUUUGGUCUGAAAACAUCAUAAUUCUAUCGUAUUAUUAUUCCACACAGCUAACUCUUGCUAGCUGCUUGUGAUCCAAUUCGGUCCGGUUCUAGCGCUUGUCUGCCACAUGCUUCGAUUCCUUUGAACGUCAAUUUCUUGGAGUAUAUAUUAUUUCUCGCUUUUUCAAGUCAACAACUGCAUUUUGGAAACUUUUUGGUUUCGUUGUUAAAUUUUUAAGAAGCUGGUGGCCCGGUGUCAUGUUAUUAUCUCAUGUAUUUCUUUUUGAGAAAAUUAUCAGCUAGAUUUCUGAUUUUAAAGAGAAUAUGCACGGUACUAAAAUAUGCCCCCAUAUUCUUUACCUCAAAGGACAGUCAUGUUUGAAAUAAAUAUGUUUAAUGUGAUAUAAUUAUGAAAGUUGCUGACAUUUUUUUAAUUCAAAAUGGUUGUUUCCCAAAGAAAAUAUUUUGUUUUUAAGGUCAACUGAAUGGAUGACUUAAAGUUAAAGUAGUCCCCCACACUGACGUUCCACCGUUGUUUACAGAUCACGGAGAAUGUAGUAGAUUUCCUUCCGCAGGUCAAAAAACAUCACAAAAGAAUAAUGUACAGCACUCGGCAUUACAUUUUACCCUUCCUUUCGAAUAAUUAAUUCGACUCUUUAUCCCUGGCAUCCCAGAAUAGUGUUUUCACCUUUAUACCCUUUUUCGUUUUUCUUCUAAAUAAAUGCUUUUGUGUACUCCUUCCAUUUCAACUAACAUGUCCACUUUGAAGAAAAAUUUUUGUUUCAAAUUACUUGUUCACUUCAACUUUCAAUGCAAAAUCAUAUUUCCAAAAUCAAUUCUACUCCACAUAUCUCUUAUUUAUAUUUCCUAGAUCAAUCUCACUUCACAUAUUUUGAUCACUCAAUGCAAUUAAUUUGUGAACAACCACUUUUCUUAAACUGUGUUUUUUUUUUUAAAAUGGACAUCUAAUUUGAAACGGAGGGAGUACAUGUUAACAACCUUUGACGAGAUAGUUCACAGCAGGGUGUUUGGUAAAUAUUUUUCAUCUUCUAUCCCGAAUCCUUAAUUUUACUCUCAUUAUUUUAAAUAUUAUGAUUAAUAUUAAUUUGCCCGUUCCUUCGGAAAAGGCUUCCAAGUGGUUAUUUACCUAAGCCAUGUGAUUUCUACUCUGUUUCUCAUGUGAAUACCUAACUUCAAUUACUUGAAAUCUCUUUUAAGUUUUACCCCUAACCACCUAUUUUACUUUGGAGACAUUCACUUUAAAGUCACUGGAUCCGGUAUUCAGCUUUUUAAUUUUCUUAAAUUAUGAAAAUGUAAUUAGAACCGCAUUUCUUCAUAGAUGUUGACAAGUUCGGUUCCUGUCACAAAAUGAUCACAUUUAUCCUGAAAUUUAAUAUUCAGUUAACAAUAAUUACAAUACCUAAAUUACAAUUGUUGUUGAUUAAAUUUAUAUAUUGACCAUCCUGUCAAAAGUACAUAAAAAUAUGUUGACCAUCCAUGGAAUCAUCAGUGUUGGCUUUAGCGAGAGCAUGGAAUGAGAUUCCAUUUUCCUAUUAUACACAAACACUACACAUAGAGCCCAAUGAUGACCCUAAAUUUAAAAUUUGUAGCCUUGCGGUUGUAAUCAAACUGCUCACCUUAUUCUAGUUACCUUCUUUAACUUUUGCUCCAAAUUAUAUAUUUGUUCUUGGUUACUUCAAAUUUUCAAAACAUACUUUGACUGUCAUUCUGAUUUCUUCGUGUCUUUUUAUUUGUCUCUGCUUUACUUGUCAGUAACUUUAGCAUUUUCAAAGCCCACAUUCACAUGACAAAAACUCAGAAACUUCAUUCAUAUAGGUUAACAAGAACCACAAACCUACAACAAAAUACCACAAAGUUUACAUUGUAUCAGGCUUUACAAACCAAAGAUGUAUUAGUAAUAAAAUUUUUAAAAAAAACUAAAAUAAAAAGCAAAUUGGAGGGAAACAAGAGGCACAUAAAGUAAAUAUAAUCCAAGAAGUAGAACUUGGACUAGUUGUGCUCUGCUAAUCUUCUCACUCUCCAGUUAAACAAACUAUGUUUAGGUAUAGGCAAGCAAAUCAAACUUGAAAUAGUAACACAGACUUCAAUAUAUUAAUAAGCAUAUAGAAGUCUUUUUAGUUGGUAAACUCCUUGAUUAAUUAGCAUCUUGAACCCUUCUUGCAGUUUAGUGAGCCUGACGCUGUGGUCAGCUGACCAACUAGACUCGAUGGCCUUGCUCCUAAGCUCGAAGCUCUGGAGUAACUCGACGAAGCCCCCGCACCCGAUGGCUUAAAAAAUGCACCAUUCAACAUCAAAUCCCCUUCUGACCUCCAGUUCCAGUGUCUCCAUUCGCUCUCCGGUGCAUCCUCGUGCUUCGUCACCUGCACAAAAUUAUAAUCUUAACCGUCAAUAUCAAACAAAAAACCAAACUCGACUUUUACUGACACCUUGAAAUUUUGGAAGAAUUAUGCGAGGAUGGUUAAAUUGUAACCUCUUUGCUAAAUCUUCUGUCAGGGGCAAGAAAUCUAUUCCCUUGGCUGUUGAUGGUGGGCGCUGCGCUGCCACCAAUGGCGUACAUUUCCCAAUGGGUGUAGUCAUUGUUCACCACGUGGAAAUAUCCAUGUCUACAUCUGGAAGAAUCAGUAGAAACACACUUUACACAUUAGUGAUCAUAAUGCAAACACAUUACAGUAUAUAUCAAGAAUAUAAAUAUGCUUUUUUUUUUAAUUAUUAUUCAUACCUAGGCAUUCUUUGCACCAGCCCUUCUCCAAAGUGAUUAAAAGCUAUAGUAACUUGCAUGUUCUUAUCUUGACUAUAAGAAUCACUGUGUCCCAGCAGCAUCACCUUAUCAUGAUGCGUCAUGUAAUUGUUCGAUAUCGUUAUAGCCGUGGACCCCAUUAUAGCAUCAAUCAGCCCAUCCUCGCAAUUCGACAAGGAGCAGUGAUCGACCCACACGUGGCUCCCACCGAAUAUCGACACGCCGUCGCCGUCCGAUAUCGUUCUCCACCCGAAGUGCCGUGGGGAGCUCCGCACCAUAGCGUUGCCCCCUUGUUUACAGUCGUGAAUAUUGAUUCCGUGAAUAAUAAUAUUUGUCACGUAUUGUAUUGUUAUGCAUGGGCCACCCGCAAUGUGCACACUAGCUCCCCUCCCAUCGAUCGUUUUAAAAGAAUUCAUAAUCAACUCUUCCUUUAGCUUUAUAACCAUGUCACGCUCGAAAAUUAUCCAUAAUGGCUCGUCUUGAAUCACCGCGUGCCUCAGAGUUCCCGGCUUAGGCGUCACCGGAUCGUCAUCACCGGAAUCCGUAACCACGUAAAUUUUACCGUCUUUUCCGCCGACCGCAUUUUUCCCGAAUCCAAUGGCGCAAUCUGCGAGACGCUGCCGGUUCUUCUCCCAGUUCGGGUCGCACCGCCAGCAGUCGUCAAUCGGGUUGCCGGUUCCGCAGGACAAAAAUCCCAAGUUCCUCCUCGAAGCAUUAAUAUUCCUGCAUUCAACGAAAAAUAAUAAGUAUUUAAAUUUCUGUAACAGACGAUAAUACCGUGGUAAGUGAGAAAAUGAAAAUGUACCAUACCUGUGUACUUCAUGGACUACUAAAUCAGGGUCUUGAUGUGGGGAGGAGGAAAUGAUAGUUGGAAUAAAGAAGAGAGAGAAGAGGAAGAGAAUGUUGGUUGCCAUUGCCAUAGCUCGCCUCUUUCAAUUUUUUUUCUUGAAAGAGGUACUAGUAAAAAAGGUCUCUAGAGAGAGGGAAAGAAAAUGUGAAUAAGGUGUGGGUGUCAGGAGAGAAAGAGAGGCGGGUUUAUAAAGAAGAAAUGUUUAAGGGCGGGGUUAAAUGGUGUGAUUAAACUAAACAUGUGGGCUCAAGUCGUGCUGUGUGAUGACUGCUUUGCCUGAGAUUUUGGGAAAUUAGAUUAAAUCGUCAAGUUAGUUUAGUCUGUUAAACAAACAUUACCUCUUCCAAGCCCAUAUCAUUUUCUGAAACAUAAAAUAACUUGCCCAACAAAACUUCUCACGUCUGUGUUCCUAACUUAUGUUCUACUCCCUUUUCGCGUUUCAGUGCCUCGAUUUUUAACAAACUUUUUAAGGUUUUUAAAGACGUGAAACAAAAAGUAAAAAUUCAAACUCAGGAUCAGUGUUUUACAGAUCAUUGAUUUAUUUAAAAAUUUUGAUUAAUUUUUAAAAAAUAAUUUAUUGAUUUAUCUAUUAUACUUUUAUUUCACUAAAAUUUUCUGAUCAAUUUCUAAUAAAUCAUGAACCAUUAGAUCAAAUAAAUAAUUUUGAUACCUCUUUUGUAACCAGACUGAGGGCAUGUAAAAAGAAUGUAACGACGGUGACAUAGCUUUACUACUAGCUUCGUCGAACCAGUUCUUUUUAUUAUUCAAAACUCAAAAGUAAUGAAUACAAUCUUUACAGAUGUGUUGCCUAACUGGUGAGCGGUGAAUAAUCACAUUUCUCUCUUCUGGUGCAAGAAGUCAUAUAACAAAUUCGAUAUCAAACCAAGAAAAUGUCAAAUGUUUGUGUGACAUAUCUCCCGAUCGCGCAAUUAAUCUUUCGUACGAAUUAUGACCCUUAAUCCUCGCCACAUUCCCGGUUAGCAUACGUACAAGAAAAUCAAAUCGUUGAAUUUUCUUUAUUUUGUCAAAUCUAUGAUGCAUCCUUUGAGAUAAGAAGAUUACAUAAAAUCCAUACCGCAAGUGUCGCCGCAACUCCACAAGAAUCAUUCAGCCAAUUGCAUGCAACUUGGAUGACAUGGCUUUACAGGUGCACAUGUAAAGGUCACACUUGUCUAUUCGUUGACACGUGGACCAGCUAUAAAGUCCAUUCGUUUAGUUAUAUUGCUGACUGGGACUUGACAUCCUCCUCAAGCUACAAGCCUACAAUCUCACAUGGACAAGCUUGAGUGCUCUCCAUAAUACAUACGUCCAUUAACUCUUGCACCUUGACAUUCCAACUUACAAAACCGAUCUUAGCCGUCCAUUAAAAAGAAGAGGUAUUAUCUCUGUCGUUAAAUAGCCCGUAAACACAUACUAAUAAAUGGUGCGGGUCUUAAGUUUUUGGUAAUGUUGUGAAAAACGCAAAUCGAUUUCAAACGGUGAAAUGAGCUUGUGACAUUUUUCUCUUCCUUUAUCCAGACAAAGAAUCAUAAUCAUAAUAUUGAAUAAAACUAAUGUUGUUUAUCUCUCCUUCAAGGAAAAUGAAAGAUAGAUAGAGCUAAGUAGCUAACGUGAGGGGCUGAAUUUGUUAUGAACCAAGAACAAGCCAUGUUAAACAGUUCAUUGCUGAGUGCUGAUGCUUUAGUUUUGGAAGGCGACUUAAUUUCUGAACCUGCUCAGCAACUGUAUACGUGGCACCCGAUAACUCAAGUGCACAUGCACAAGACUAUAAAAAAAUAGUUGUGUAUAUAGUUUCGUUAUCGAAUCCGACUUUUGUCCAUUUACUAGAUCACAAGCAUGUGAUUCAAGAAGAAAACUAGCAUAAAAGCCCGUGCGAGGCACGGGGCUCUAGUUUUUGCUGUUUUUUAAAUAAUAUUCAUAUGUCAUUAUAUUGUUCUUGUACGGACCUUGAGUUUGUAUUAUGUUUUAAAUAAUAUCCGUGUGUCAUCAUAUUGUUUCGAGCGUAACUAUUACGUUUUACUUUUUGACAAAAUAUGUAAACAUGAAAAAUGUAAUAUAUGCAAGCUAAUAGCAUUAAUAGUAAUAAUAAGUACUAUUCCCUCCAUUCCAUUUUAUAUGACCCUUAUUCUUUUUUGAGACAUCUCUAAAAUAAUGAACUUACUAUACUUACUAUUUUUAAACACUACUUAUCACUAUUACACACACUACUUCUCUAUUUUAUACUCUUUUAUAUUAAAUAAACACUAUUACACUCACUACUUACCAUCACUAUCUCAAAUCUAUUAUUAAAUUUUGAUAUAUUCCACCACUUUACCCACUUUCCAACUAAAUUUCCUCUUUUUUACUACUUUUUUCUUAAUCUCCGUGAAAGUCAAAUAAGGUCACCUAAAAUAGGACGAAGGGAGUAUAUUUUUUAAAAAAAUUAUAGAUCAAAAACUACAUUUGAACUGAUAUUUCUAUAUUCAAAUUCGUUAGGAUAUAGAGACCAUCAUCAUAUUAUCAAUGUUCAAAAUUAUAUUCGAAAUUAAUACUGAAAUUUUAAAUUUUAAAUAUAUUAUACCUCAUUAAAAGAAUCUGUAAUUUAUUGUUGAAAUUAUUAAAUUAUUUCAACUAAUAUACCAUGAUUUUGAUAAAAACCUGUUUUUGAUAUGUGAAUUACGAUAUCCUAAAUCAUGAUUAAAUGAAGAUGUGUGGUCCGCGUUGCCCUACAUUUAUUUCUUCUUUUUUGAGCGUACGUUUGCAUAAUUAUUAAAGUGAUACAUGAUGGAGCAGAUCAUCAACACAUUCUUUUUAGCAUAUGUUGCACACAUUUUGUAUAAAUAAAAAUUGAAACAUGUGUUGUACGUAAAAAGACACGUACCUUAUUUUAUUAUAAAAGUAUCAAUUGAACUACUAACCAUAUAAUUGCACCCCAAAAAUUUCUGACACCUUUGAUGUGUCUUAUCCUUUUAUUUUUCAUAUCAAUUAUAUAGUACUUCAAUGUAUUAUAUUUUUAUUGUUAAUUUAAAAAUAUUUGAUGAAUAUUACUUUGAUACAGUAUGUUAUAACAUUAUCUCGUUAUAAAAUUUUAAUUUUCUAUAAUUAGUUUUUUGAGCUUGUCUAUUAAGACUUUUAAUGAUUUUUCAUGUAAUCGUUAUAAAACAGAUCUCAAACAAAUGAUUUUAUGGAAUUUCAAAUAGCAAAAAGAGAGUAGAUAUGAGUUAGGCAUCAUGAAGUUCAUAAAACCAUAAAAUAUUUAGUUCAAUUAGUCGUGUAGUUACUUUUUUAGCUUUGUGCAAACUCACAUUUUUAAUAUUUUGAUACUCGUAUUUAUUAGGAGUGAUCAAUGUGGCAUAUCAUGUUCAAUUGUUAAAGAUCAAGUUAUAUAUUCGAUAUUUUGAAUCAUGAAAAAACUAUUCUUGUUCUAGUCCCGUUUAACCAGAUAUUAGUUUCACCGUAUCGCGUCAGAUUAUCCGGUUCAGAAUUAAUUAUAUUUUAUUAGUUUAAUUUGUAAAUGAUUAAUUUAACUGUAGUUUGAAUCAUUUUAUUUAACUGGUAUGUUAUAUAUUGGAUGAUGGCAUAUUAAAAAUUAUAGUUUUAAGACUUUAAUAUAUAUAACUUAUUUCUCUGUGUUAUUUUAUUUAACAAAGUAAAAUUUAUAACUCAAAUCUUUUUAGUAGUUCUCGUAAACGCGUUUUAUUAUUAUGUGGUUGACUUUUGAUUAACAAUAUAAAAUUUCCUUAAAUUCACCUUCAUAUCACAAGUUAUAGUAUUUCAAAUACAUAUAUCAUCAAAAUUAUAUCAUUUAGAUAUAUUUUCCGACACCAAAUUUGAUGUAUUGUCACUAUCCUUAUAUCUAUAAUUUUUUUAAAAAAAGAUUUAGUUACACAUCAAAUUCUGAAUUCAUAAGUUUAAAAUAAAAAAAUAUUCUACAUAGGAAUAUUCUUUCAGUCACCUUAUUUCGUGUUCUCCAAAAUAUUGUAAUCUCUUUGUAAAUUGCCUUUUAUAAUAAAAGAAAUUAAUAUGACAUAGCCCAUGUUGAAAGCCCAUCAAUUUUUCCUUUCAAAGAUGCUCGCUUAAACCUCAGUUUUUGUACUUAUUUCUCACAUUCAUGACUUAAAAUUUCUAUAAUAUUGUAUCGGUGCUCGUUUAAACUAUUAAGUUAGAUUUGAAUUCGAAUACGAAUUAUAUCUAUUUUUUGAAAUCCGAAUCAUGGCACGAACCCGAUUAUUCAUUUUUUUUUAAUUUUAAAUUUAUUUAUGUAAAUAAUUAAUUUAUAGAUAUUAAUCUAUCAUGUAAACAAUAUAUGAGACUUAACUGAAAUAAUAACUCAUCUCAAAUAAAUAAGAUAUUGAGACGAAUAUAAAUACAAAAGUUUUAAAGUAUGUGAUUAAUGCUUUUGAGUAAUAAACUAAUUGUUUGUGUAGCUCAAGUGGUUUGAGUGAUGUAUUUGUAUUGGAGAGAUCCCGAGUUCGAGCCUCAUGAAUAACAUUUUUUUUUUAUAUAUAUGAGAAGAUGUUAGGUUCGGAGUUAGGCUCAGGUUCGGAGCUAGGUAAUUUAUUUGCUCAGGAGGGAGGCUUGACACGAACCUGUUGGGCUACUAUAUAUAUAAGUAGAUAUGCUAUUCUAACUAAUUAAUUGCCAAAAAAGUCUAUUUCUUCACCCUCUCUUCGUUUCCUCUGUUUCUAUUGGGCUUCCCAAUAUUUGUUAGUUGAAUAAUUUUCUGCUCUGUACCCCUCAUCCCGCCUUUUAAACCGCCUUAUUUAAAAGAGUAUUCAUAGUUUGUUUAUUCGAACAUAAUAACAGUUAUUUUUACUAGAUAUGUAAAAGUUUUUAUCAGAAGAAAAUUUAGUGCAUCAUCAUUAUUAAUAACAUGAGAAUUAAUAGAAAUUUAUUUUUUAUUCUAUGACAGAUCUAGAAAUUUGAAAAUUUUUUGAAUUGCAAAUUAUAAAGUAAUAAAAUUUCAAAUCGAAAUAAUAUUGAGCUCUUUAACAUCAUGUUAGCAGCCGCAUAAUUAUGUUGACAAAUAAAGGAACAGACAGAGCUAAAUCCGAAUAAUAUAUUUGGUGGGCUGCUAAUAGUUACUACGAGACACCGAGGUUGUAUGGAAAUGAAGAUAGAACAUGAAUUAUUUAAGAAGCAAGUGAUCUUUUGUGGAAUUUCUAUAUGCGUAUGGGGGAGUAUGUCUCGAUUUGUACUUAUUAAGCAUGUUGAUAAACAUGCAUGCGUGUAUGUAUAAUAACACGAGAAGCACAUAAUACAUUUGGAUAAUAACCAAUCAUUUUGUGUCAUGGUGUUUUCUGUUUUCAAGUAACUAGUUGAGAAGCCGCGCGUUGCGGCGGCCUAUAAAAAUUAUAUUAACGAUCUAAUAUUAAUAUUUGUAGAAUGCAAUAAUUUUGUGGCUGUAUAUAAAAAAUAUAUUAAUGAUUAAAAAUUAAUAUUUGUAGGAUAAAUUAAAUUUUUUAUUAUAAAAAUCUUGAUGUAAUGCCAAUACUAAUAUAUAAAAUUGCAAAAUUAGACUAUAAUUCAUGUUGAAAAUAUGAAAAUAAAUUUCUACGCGUAAUUAACAAUUUAAAGCACGACAAAUCUUAAUUUUAUUUGUGUUUUUUUUAAAAAGUAAUCAUGCUCUUACAUUGUCACCUUCCUCCAAUUUUUUUGGAUUGAUUGUGCACAAAAACAUCUAACUUAAAUCCGUGCGAUAGCGGUCUAUAACUACCCUAGUUGCAACAACCUUUAUUUUUUAAUACUGUAUGAACAGUCUUCACUUAAAAGUUGUUUGAACGGAGCAAACAGAUAAUGCAUGAAUAAUAUUUUCUUGUGUGCAAAGUAAAUUAUAUAAAAAUUAACAACAACAAACAUGUCCGAUGAACAAAACAAAUUUUAUAAAAGAAUAAUCAACAAACAUACAUUACUAAUAGUUAAUUUAUUGAUAUCAUCCAUCAAUAUCAUGUCAAGACUAUAUUCUUCUCCCGUGUUUGGAUUUGUCGACUCCCACAUAGCGGUUUAUAACUACCUUUGCUUACAACAACCUUUAUAUUUUUUUAAUACUGUAUAAACAGCCUUCACCAGAAGAACGGCAACACCGAGUUAGAAAUCGAGCAAUAGAAAUAUCACCAGAGAGAGCUAAGGUUGUGAUACUGAGAGAGAAGAUUGUGUUAAGAUGAUCAAAAACUCUACAACCUAUAGGGGUAUUUAUAGAUGCAGAGAGACUUGUGUGCUACUCUUUCCCAUAAUUAAAUAAUUAAAACUUUCAAGCUGCUAUAUUCCAUAAAGAAUCUGAAACAAAAUCAGAUUCUGAAACUUGCUUCUAAUAUAUCCGAAACUAAAAAAGACAGUUUUAAUUUUUGAUAUUUUUCAUCUGAAAAUUUCAGAAAAUUAGAAAAAUAAAACGGAGCGAUGUGAGAGGCGCCACCUACACGCGCCUCGCUCCUCCUUUAUAUAGUAACAAAAUCAAAUUAAAACUUUCAAGCUACUAUAUUCCAUAAAUAAUCUGAAACAAAACCAGAUUAUAUAGAAACAAAAUCAAAUUAAAACUUUCAAGCUACUAUAUUCCAUAAAUAAUCUGAAACAAAAUCAGAUUCUGAAACUUGCUUCUAAUAUAUCCGAAACUAAAAAUGGUAGUUCUAAUUUUUGGUAUUUUUUUAUUCAAAAAUUCCAGAAAAUUAGAAAAAUAGAACGGAGCGAUGUGAGAGGCGCUACCUACACGCCCCUCGCUUCUCCUUUAUAUAAGUAUAUUGAUCGAUGAUUGUAAUGUAUUUUUUUAAUAAUUAAUCUUUGAAUAACAUACUUAUAAACACCGUGCAUGCGUGUAUCUACAGAGAUGCUGCAGCAGUCUGCAAGUAUGGAACCCGACCUUUUAAAAGAGAAAUAUCAUUUUAAAAGGGACUCCCUUCGUCAUUCUCAAUUGUUUAUAAUAAAAAACGGGAACUCGACACGCAUUUUAAAACUAGCAUAAAAUACAGUUUAAUAAAUUAUUGUAAACAUUUAUUCUUCUGAAUAAAAGUUUAGUGUUUAUAUUUUUAUAGCUUAUAACCCGUGCAAUGCACGGGCGGUUAAUUAACAUAUAUGUUAUUUUAUUGUAUAUAUUUUAAAUUUAUCUAAUUUUAUUGUAAAAAUAAAAUUAUGAUAGAAUAAUGUGGUUAAAUAAAUGUUUUAUUUAAUAGUUGGAUAAAUUCUUCAUAGUUAAGUUCGUCAAAUGGCUAAUUAAAAAUUAGGUCGAACAUAUAUAUUUUAAUGAGAAUGUUAAAAUAUUUUCUUUUACAUGUUAUAAUUUAAGGAGGCCUAUAAACUCAAAUAUAAACUAACCGAUCAACCUUUUGAUAUUUCAUUAUUAAUAAUUAAUAAUAUGGUAUAAAAUAUAUUAUAAUUUAAAGAGACGCAUGAAACCAAAUACCGACUUAUCAUACUAACCUAAAUUUAAUGUUUUGGUUUAAUAGACAAUAAAAAAAUAUACUAUAAUAUGUUAUAAAUUCAAGAGUUCCGUGGGUCGAAUAUCAACCGAUUCACCAAACUCAACUAACUGACCAACCAAGUGAAAUUUUUAUUUUCAGCUUUAAUAGUGUAAUAAUAUAUAAGUAUAUGAUGGAUUUGUAAUAUUCUUUUUAAUGUGAGAUCAUUAGAGUAUUUAAAAAUAAUGUUACUAACGUAUUUUGGUUGAAUAAUAUCACAUGUUAUUUAUUAAUAAUUAUAUUUAAUGAUAUUAUAUAUUUAUAUAUAUGGCGCCCGUGUUAAUUGUAAAAGUUCGGUUUUUUUAGUUGGAAAAUCUGAAAAAGAUAAUGCAUUUUGAUGAAAAAGGCAAUUACUAUGUUGCUCGAUAUUAACUUAAAAUAUUGAGUUUUUUUAGCUAAAAAAUAUAUAAAAGAUAAUUUAUUUUAGUUAAUAAGAAUAAUUGGUUAUAUAUAUAUAGAUAGGCCCGUACUUCGGCCCAAGUAUCGACCGCCCGACCAAUAUAAUAAAACUCCCUCUAUUUUUUAUUAUUUGACGUUUAGACUUUUGGCACACAUCUUUACGUAUAAAUAUGUCGCCCAUGUCCGUAUUAAUUGUAAAAGAUUAAUUUUAUAGUUAGAAAAUUAAUAAAAAGAUAUAUAUUUUAGUUAAAAAAGUAAUUACCAUGUUUCUCAAUGUUAUAUUAGAUAAUUGAGUUUUUUAGUCAAAAAUAUAAAAAAGGUAAUAUAUUUCAAUUAAAAAGAUUAAUUGGUUAUAUAGAUAGGCCCGUACUUUGACCCAAAUUAAAAAGAAUAAUUGGUUAUAUAGAUAGGCCCAGAAUAAUUGGUUACAUAGAUAGGCCCGUAUUUUGGCCCAAGUACUGACCUAUCAAGUUUUUAAUAUUUCGGCUUUAAAAGGAUUAUUAAUUGGCUAUAUAGAUAGGUCAGUAUUUUGGCCCAAUUAAAAAGAAUAAUUGAUUAUAUAGAUAGGUCCAGAAUAAUUGAUUAUAUAGAUAGGCCUGUAUUUUGGCCAAGUACCGACCGACCAAACUUUUAAUGUUUCAGCUUUAAUAGUAUAGUAUAGAUAUAUAAAAAAAAAGAAAUAAAAAAAAUUACGAACCUAUACAUCCGGUGCUUUUUAAGUGUUGAACAAGGUCUGUCCAACGCUUUUUAAUCGCUGGACUGGGUCCGUCUCACAGUCAAAAUGUGUUGAAUGUAUUAAAUUUUUGUUAUAAUCUUGAUCGCUGGAUAUUCAUCCAACAACCAGGAUAGUUUGUUAGUUAAGAUGUCCCUAACAUACAUAUAUCCCUGACCAAGACCCAUAUUUUAUAUGCACCUUAGCGCCCUCCCCCUCUGUUUCAAAACCCUCGCCUUCUUUUAAGAUUUUUAAGGGGGCUUCCAUCGGUUUUUACCUGUGGAAAACUCCAAUUCUUUUUUUUUCUAAUUUCUUGUUUUGAAAUCUUAUUUUCCAUUCAAUAAAUUCCCAAUUUAUUUGGAUUUUGUUAGGCUCUCCUUCUUGUGAGAGUUGGUUUGUUUUGUUCUGGUAUGUUUUGAUAUUCUCAAUGACCGAGGUUAUAGAUCGGCAUGAUUUUCAUGAGUUUGAUUCAGGUUUAAAAGUUAUUAUGGAUCGCAUCUAUGAUCAAUUGUUCAUCUAUGAUCGAUUGUUCAGAACAGUCAGGCGAAAACCAGUCGGAUGGAAACAUAUGUAUAUAUUCAAAUCAUCUUCAAAUCGCUUAGUUGCCUCUCCAAGAAGAAAGGAUCCAACAACUAUAUUCUUCAGAGAUGGCGUAUGAUUUUCAAUUAAGUAAUUGUAUUUUUAUCAAAAAAUAAAAUAAAAAAUACACCUUAAAAGUUAAAACAUAGGUCAAACAAUCAAAAAAGAUGUGGUAAAACUUAAAAGAAGGAAAGCGGCACAAGAUAGCAUGCUUUGGUAAAGCUUGUCGUUUUUUUUUUCCUUCUGAUUUAGGAUUACUUAGAAAAAGUAUAGAUAGUUUGAAGAGCCCGUCCUACUCGGCCCGUGGUUCAAAAUGGGCCUAUAUAUCUUAAAGCCCUUCUUUCCGACCCAAGUUUUGUUCAUAGGCUGAUAGCAAUUCUAAACCAGGACAGGUUUCGGUAUUUGGUCAAUAUUUUACUAUUCGUUUAUAUAACAUUUCUAGUCUUUUUUGGGUGGCUGAAAAUAUAAUUAAGUUUAUUAUUCUAUAUUAUUUCCUAAAUAAUAUCCAACUUGGUAUUACUGUGAAUCAUUAAAUAAUUAAAUAAUUAUAAAGAUGUGUUUUUCAAUAAAUAAACAAAUUUCAUACAAUAAUACAGUAAUAAACUAAUAAUACCAGAACUGUAUUUGGUCAUGGACUCAUGGGUCGUGUGGGGCAGUUGGGGUAAGGAACCUAUAAACUGAGUAACCCAAUAGCCUUUUUACACUAAAAUAACACCUACAAGGCAACUACUCCAUUUUACACUGACAUCAAACAACGUUUACCGGAGAGUCUGGAUCUCUCAUUUCUUUACUGUUAUUAUUUUGGCGUAUCCCUCUCAUUUCUUCACGUUAUUAUAAAUAGGUGUGUUUCACAUCAUUACACUCACUAUCUUCUCCUACUAUCUUAUGUUUAACAAUAAAAACUACUAUUACACCCACUACUUUCCUCCACUAUCUCAAAUCUAUUAUUAAAUAUUGAUAAGUCCCACCACUUUACCCACUUUUUAUGUUACUUUACUAUUUUUUAUACGUUAUCUUGAUCUCCGUGUACUCUUCNGUUGAGCUACUGUCUACUAGAGUACUAGACUGGGCUGAAGUCUACGCACGUGCUUCUGUGCCCCGCUAAUCCAUUUUCUAUCCGUGUUAUUAAUUUAUUAUGGACUAAAUUAUUGUUUAAUCAGUCAUCAAUUUCGUAUAAUUGCGUAUUUCUCAAUCAUGACCAUGUCAUUUUCAGACUUUACAUCAGCGAGUUAGAGCAUUCAACACAAUAUAUAAAGAGUGCAGGGUUGAUUACAAACGUUCAACUCAAAAUUUUCAUUGUUACAUUUUGUAAAACAGAAAUUACUUUUUAAAAGAUGUGAUGGAAUUUGAGAUGUACAGAAGAUCUGUUCGGGCCAGAUCCAGACCGGAUAAAAAAAUCCGGAUUUUUUUGAAACCAGAUCGGGCCGGAUUUUUUUAAAAGUUGGGUCGGGCCGGGCUUUCUCAAAAAUACUAUGCCUGGUUUAGUUAUAAAAAGCCCGGAUUUUUCAAAAAUCCCGAUUUUAUCCGGAUUUUAUUGAAAAUACUAGGCCUGUUUUAGGCCCUCGGUCCGGGCCGGGUCAAAACGGAUUUUUUUCGGAUCGGAUUUUUCAGAUUUUUUUCCAAAUCGGAUCGGAUCGGAUUUCAGAUUUCAGAUUUUUUUAAUAUCAUGGAAUAGCUCAUUUUAUCUUUAAAUCUCUUAGGUACUGAAUUAAAUUCUGUUUUAUAAAUUAUAUUUAAGUUCAUCUGGCUAAAAAAACAAAAAAAACUAAAGUCGUGUUUAUUUGGAUGAAAUAGAAAAAUCUGUGAAAUGAAAAAUUAUAUGAAAAAAUCAUUAAAGAAAUACUCCUCGUCCCAAAUUAGAUGUAUACGUUCAUUGUUUGUACGUAUUUUGAGACUUUUAUAAAUUAUAGUUCUAUAAUGUUUUUUUUAAAAAAAUUUCCCUGAAUAAAAGUUUAACAUCAAUUUUUUAUUUAAAUAAAAAUUAAAAAAAUAUAUAUUAUAACACUAUACUUUAAAAGAAUAUAAAAAAAAGUGCCAAAAAAUAAUAUAUACAAUUUAUUGAGAUAAGAGGAGCAGUUAAGUAUGAGAAAACUGUGAUGGUAUUUGGUGGGGGUUUUUAAACUGAGUCUCUGGACUUAAAAAGCAACUCAUUCGUAUCAUUUGUUUAAAAAAUUUUAUAGAUCAAUUUACAAUUUACAAGUUAGAUAUGAGAUUAGUAAUUUAAAUAUUUCGUAACUUAAUUUAAAUUUUGAAUUUGAUUUUACAAAAUGUAAAAGAUCACUAUAAAAAAUAAUUUAACAAUAAUUUAUUAUUAUAUCAAUAGUUUUUAUAUUCUCUAAUUUGUAAACAUACAAAAAAUUAUACGAACACAUAAAAUAAAAGUUAAUUCUAACUUAUAAACAACUUCUUGCUUAUAAGUAUCGAACAUUUCAGCCAAACGACCCUGUGAAAAUGUAAGCGAGUUUAAAUUUUUUAUGAUGAGAUUGCUGGGAAACAUGAUAAAAGAACAAAAUAAAUAUUAUUUGUAUUAAUAUUUAAAUUAAAUAAUUGAAUAAAGGAAAUUAUAAUUUUUUUUUAACUCACCUCCAUUUUAAAUUAUUAUUUCAUUUCAUUUAUAUUAAUGCAAGUGGAGACCGCAGUUAAAUUUUUUGAAACAAAGAAGAAUUUUACUAAAAUCAAACAUGCGACAGUGUCUCAACACACGUGAUAGAGGAAAUAAUAAAUCAAUGAAAUUAUUUAGCAUACCCAGUGGAGACCGCAGCUAAUAAUAACGAGAACCAGAUCGAACGUAACGUGAACGGGAAAGAAUCACAAAAGCGAACAUUCUUUAUAAAUACACAAUGAAGGACCACCGCCGGUCCGUCACAUCUCAUGGCCUUAUAAAUCGCAAACGGUGCUUCUUACUUAAAUUCUCACCGUGCAUCUACAGUACUUGUUUCAGCUUUUUUGUCGCUCUAGUUUAAAUAAGCAUUUCCACCCGAAUUUUCUCCUAAAAUCCCAAAUAUACCCUCGUCAAACGCAGUUCCCGAUGUCUUUCCCUCUGCAAAAACUCUGCCACAAGCAACAGCAGCAACAGAAACAUAAUUAUAAAAUUUACACACACACCCUCCACAGCCUACGCAAAUUUACAUUAUUUUAUUACAUCACAGGGACAGAAUAUCUGAGGAACAAGGCAAAAUCAUGAUACUAGAUACAACUACUGUACACGCCAUAGCAGAGUGAGAUAAGGAUUGUUAGCUACUGAAAAUGAAUGCGAUGGCGCCUUGUACAUUUAUAAUCAUUUUUAAACAUAAUCGCCCCUCUAUCUUUAUUAUAUUUACUAUUUUGCCACUAAUAUCCCGUGCUAUUACCGCUCUUCCUCCGCCUAGUCUCGUACUUGCAACUCAACUCACCAACACAAGGAGUACCAAUUUUAUUACACAAGUACUCACAUUUUAUUACAAACAUUAAACAUUAAAAAAAUUAAAUAAGUUUGGGGCUUUGCAUUUUCUUGUUUUCUCCGGUCCCGAGACAAUUUUACACUCUUCCAUUCUUCAAUUUACAGGUUGGUUUUCUCUUUAAUGUUUGUUUUUGCAUACGUUUUUCUCAAACUUGUUCUUGUUUGUUGCUUCCCAUGCUUUGUUUUUAUUCUAUUAGUCCACAUUACAAAUUACGAUGAGGGUUUUUUAUACGUUUCAUUUUGUAACUUAAAGAUUCUAUCUUUUCACCAUUUUCUUGAUUUUUGUAUUCAUUCAAGUUUGCAUUUUUAUAUGUGACUCCCAUCUGUGUUUCUCUUUGCUACACUGGUUUUUUCAGCUCCAGGAAGGUGCAACAAGGUAUAAAAAUAUACUAGUAUUAUAUAUUGGGAACUCAUUAUUCAUGUGUAUGUAAUGUAUUACUGUGUUAAGGGGAUUCGUAUGUACUAUCAUAUAGUGUUGAGCCAUGAAUGUGACUUUGGAUUUUAUGUUAUGCUACAGUUUUUGAUAGCUAUGUUCUACUGUGUUUUUCUGAAAUUGGAAUUUUUAUGUCCUUGUAUGGUGAUUUAAGCAUCUGGAAUUAGAUUUAAAAUGGUAUCUUUUCCAUUAAUGCUUGUUUGUGCUAUAUAAGGUUUUUUCUCAAGUUUGAAUCAUACAUUUGGGGACAAGAUUGCCAUUCCUAUUAUCUUUUCUAAAAUUGUGUAUUUUUCGGUUGUUUGGAGUCCAUGUCGUGUUUGAUUUGAUUUUAGUGGUUUUUCGGUAGAUGAUAAUGUUUGUGUUUGCACUUUUAGAGUGAGAAUGCAGCUUUGUAGUACCGAGGCUGAGUUGUUUGGAAAGUAUUAGAGGUGCAGUUGUGGGGAAGAAUGGAUGGGAGGCGGCAUUCGGUUGAUAUUCCCAUAUCAAAAGCAUUGGUGGCUCUUAGAAGAGUGAGAUCACUGAGGGAUCCGUCAACGAACUGUUCAAGCAGAUUAUCUCCAGUAGUUGACGGUUUGAAUUGGGAAACAAACUCAAAUAAUGGGAUCACUUUAGGAUUUGCCAAUGAUGGAAUUGAUGGCGUAAAUGCUCUAGGAUCAAAAGAUGUAGUUUUGUAUGGACAAAGGAGGGAACAUGACAGUGAAUGUGAGGUCUACUAUUCUAAAAGAAAACACAAUCCUAAUUUUGGCCGUGAUGAGUAUCCGGACUUUGGGGGUUAUUGUCCUGGCAGGACCAUAGAAGAAGAGUCUAACUUGAUCCUUACAAAUCAGGAAGAGAGUUGUGAGAACACAUUACCAAGUGAAAAAUAUUACAGGGAGUACAAGGACAAAAAACUAGGCUUAAUUGGCAAGCCACCUUUAGGGGAUUGCUCGGAAGGGGUGGGCUCAUGUAAUGAAGCAUUGGAAGGAUCUUUGCGAGCUGAAAGAUUGGAUCAAAAUGCUUCAAAGCGAAAUUCUCGAUACAGAAACCGAAUUAGAUCAUCCAGAGCAGGAACAUGCGAUGUAAUGAGUCGUACAAGCAGUCCUUGUUUGUCCAUUGGUGAUGUUCCAGUGGAAAAGGCAAGUUGUAGCCCAUCCUUAUAUGAUAAUGGAGAUGUGGAUGCUUUAUAUCCGAAUGAUCAGGGAUGCGGGAUAAGUCGAUGCUGGUCAAGAACUCCAAGAUUUAGAGAAUCCGAUUUUUCUUCUGAUCUAGAAGAGAGACCACUAAUGUCAGAGGGAGCAAGGUCAAUAGAUCAGUCAGAGCACAGGAGGAGUCGGAAGCACAUUGGUAAAGAGGCUAUUCCAUAUUCGGAGAGUCCUAGGAGUCUGCAUCAGAAAUUCAGGCCCAAGUCUUUCAGUGAACUAGUAGGGCAAGAUGUGGUGGCAAGUUCCCUCUUAAGUGCCAUUGCAAAUGAGAGAAUAAUUCCAUUUUACCUAUUUCAUGGUCCCCGUGGUACUGGCAAGACAUCUGCCUCGAGAAUAUUUGCUGCCGCCUUAAAUUGUCUCUCACGUGAAGGAAACAAGCCUUGUGGUACGUGCCAGGAUUGCGUUUCUUUCUUUUCUGGAAGAAGCCGGGAUGUAAAGGAAGUGGAUUCUGUGAGAAUCAAUCGGGUGGACAGAAUUAGAUGGAUCAUUAAAAGUGCCUCAGCUCCCCCAGUUUCAUCACGCUAUAAGGUCUUUAUAAUUGAUGAGUGCCAUUUAUUGCGAGGAUCUACAUGGGCAUCUAUCUUAAGUGCAGUUGACAACUUUUCAAGACACGUUGUCUUCAUUAUGAUUACCCCUGACCUGGAUAAGCUUCCGCGAAAUGCAGUGUCUAGGUCCCAGAGGUAUCAUUUUCCAAAGAUAAAGGAAAUUGACACAGUUUGUAAACUUAAAAAAAUAUGUGUUGUAGAGGGAAUUGAAUUUGAUCAAAAUGCAUUAGACUUUAUUGCUACUAGAUCUAGUGGUUCACUUCGGGAUGCAGAAAUGAUGCUUGAGCAGCUCAGUUUGCUUGGCAAAAAAAUUACUCUAUCAAUUGCCUAUGAACUUGUAAGCACUUCUCUUUGAUGCAUUUUCUUACAAAAUUCCCGUGUAUUACAAUUUUAUCAUUGUGCAAUACUGAUUCAGGUUGGCAUGGUUUCUGACGAGGAAUUGCUUGACUUACUGGAUCUGGCUUUGUCUUCUGAUACCGCAAACACUGUUAAAAGGGCCAGGGAGUUGAUGAAGUGUAGAAUUGAUCCUAUGCAUCUAACAUCACAACUAGCAAAUAUCAUCAUGGAUAUUCUUGCUGGAAAUUGUCUGGAUGGUGCCAAAAAAAAGUUUAUGGGAAGGCAUACUUGUAUGUGUAUUGAUGCUUCAUAUAUUUUAAUUAUUCUAUUAAACAUAUAUCAAUGUUUUCAUUUGGCAGUUGAACACUUGUAUCUGGAUCUUUUUGGUCUUUCUAAUGUUUGGCCAUGUUGAUUAAUCUGAUAGUUUCUUGUAAGUUGUCGAGGACAUAUGAUUUACUUAUAUUUUAGAUGGUGUUAAGUUUGACCGCUCUUAUCUGUAUUCCUUAAAAUCGAAGUAUCUGACAAGGCUCAUUCUCUCCGGUCUAAUUAUUUAUCUUUUCUUGUUCCUCCUAAAUUUCAAUGGAGUUUUCCCCAUUUUUGGUACUUGGCGCAUUUAUUAGUCGUUGCCUAUACUCUAAGAUCGUGUGCUCUUUUUCUACUAUAUCUCUGUUUCGUGCACAUUUAGAUAUUGUGCUCUUUUCUACUACAUCUCUCUGCCAGUAAACUUUGCUUCAGGUCAGCAGAAAGCGGUACUGCAUUUUAUUUUACAAUUUCUUUAGUGUGUACACCUGUAUCAUUGCUAUCCCUUUUAAAUCUAGUUAAGUUGUUGGCUAAUCGGGAGUUUCAUUUUUGCAAAUGUAUAAAUGAUUGGUGGAAUAUAUUUGGAGUGGAUUACCCUGUUUAAAUCUAGGUUGUGUUAUAGUGCUUCUGUGUCUGCUCUAACGUUUCUAUUAUUUUGUUGGUUAGCUGAAGCAGACCUCCAGCAUCUCAGUCACGCACUAAAAGUACUUUCUGAAACUGAGAAACAACUGAGGACAUCUAAGAACCAGACCACGUGGCUUACUGUAGCUCUUUUGCAGUUGAAUUCUGGCGGUUCUACAAUAGAUGCAAAUGAGACAGCAUUAUGUAGAAGUACAGUGCAUACAAGAGGUAUGAAUGGGACAGCAUAUUUUGGUAUACUUGCAUCAUUCGAUAUAACUGAGGUGAACAAGUCUUCUUAAUCUACUUUUUUGAUUCACAGACGGUGAGUUCUGCAGCUCGUCAUAUAGUGGAGAGAGUUCAAAGCAUCAUGUCACUUGUGCUUGUGGCAAAUUUGAUUCUUGCAAAAUGGGGACACAGGAAGGAAAGGGAACACUGGAAUCUGUUUGGAGCAGAGCUACAGAAAUUUGUGAAUCUAAGUCACUCCGAAAUUUUCUUCAGAAAAAAGGGCAGUUGGCUUCUGUUUGUUUUAAUGAAGGUACUUAAAUAUGUGAUUUUAUGUUGCGUAUGUAGGUAAAACAUGGUUGAAAUUUAACACAAUUAUUUUUGUCAAAACCUUAUUUUUUUGUUAACAUUUUUAAUUUUUUUUAACGUUUAAAUAUCUUUUUGAUGUUUGUUUCAUAGCAAAUAUCUUGUUCAUACUUAUUUUACGGAUUUUUGGGUUAAUUGGAAAAAAGUAAAUUCUUUAUAUUGUAUUCUGAAAAUAUUUUAGAUAUAUGUACACAAAUUAUAAUAUUUAACCGGAUGCUCACUACAGAUAUCAUGUCAGUUAUCCCUCUUAAUGCCAACUUAAGUCUAUAUCUUACAAGUACUCCUUUUUCAGGUGUGGCUGUAGCUGAACUAGAAUUCAAAAGCCCUGCUUAUGUAGCGAAAGCUGAGAAAUCCUGGAAAUUGAUAGCUGCUGCAUUGCAAUCUACUUUGGGUUGUAAUGUUGAGAUAAGGAUUAAUCUUAUGCGUAGCAAUUCUGAGAUCAAGUCCAAGAAAGUGAAGAAAUCAUCAUUCAGCUUGUUUAGUUGUUCACGCAGAAUUGACCGACACUCUACCACCGAACCUGGAAGUGAUCCUUCUGAAAAUUAUACAUCAUUGUCUGAAAAGGCCAUGAUAAAGGAAAAAUCAGUUGCAACAUGUACCUCUGAUUGCGGGUCUCAAAAGUCAAACUCACACAUUUGCUGUCACACACAAGAAACAGUAAAAACUCUGCGGGAUAGUGAUGGAAAUGCACUUAGUGUUGAAACGACUACGUCAUAUAGGUUAUUGCCUGAGAAUACACCAAAACCGGAAUAUUGUAAAGAUGAUUGUUGUAAUGGAGACGAAAUGAACUGUAAAUUUCGGAAUGUAUACUCUGACACUGCUGAGAAGCAGCCGGGCUGUUUUCCGAGGACAAUGAAUCUACAUAAGAAGUUACACACAUCAGGCAACAGGCAGAUGGAUGUUUUCAGUAUGCAACCAGAACACCACCUUGCAUUGGCCAACCAUGGUCAAACACCGCCUCAAGGUUAUUUCUGUGCCAGCGAUCCUUACAGUUUCAGCAAAGAUUGUAAGAACAACACCGAGUGUCAUGGAUAUGAGAACAAGUGAGUAUUUUUCGUCUCUGUCAGAUGUAUUUCAUCUUUUGGAUAUUUAUAGAUUCUAAACCAUAAAGAUUGACAUAAGUAUCAUGGAUCAGAUUAACUAAUGUGUUAGAAAUGUUGAAGUUAUUAUUGAUAAUUAACUGAACUAAUGGCCUCCUUAGUCCUUACUAUGCAUCUGUUACAAAACUUACAUGCUUGCUACUGAGAUGAUUACUGUCCGUCUUAAUCAAUUGCUGCCUUGUAUAAUUCUGGUCAAUUUGCAAAUUCAAGUCAAGGAAGGAAAGAUUCCAAGGUGUACUGUUGGAGGACUCCUACAUUUCCCUUUAAGAAGGUACUGACUGUAAAAGCAUGUCCGAGUUUAUUUCAUAUCUGAUACAAGUACAUAGUUCCAUCUUAAUAUAAUCCAAUUUAGAUCGGUAGGGAGGCUGACAAACCAUGCUAGAGAGACACUUUGUGAUCCUUUUAUAUAUAGUGUUAUGUUUGUACAGAGAAUACCUUCGUGAAUUUCAUCAUGGUCGUAAAUCUCGUCCUUGAAAAAAGCAGCCUGGUUAUAGUUUUUAACCUUAGUAUAUAUAUCGAAAGUGUUCAAGUAAUUAGCAUCAUAAGAUCUGAUUGUUAUAAAGCAUGAAAAAUGAUACCACAUAAAAAGCUUACCUAUUAGUUCCGUGCUUUCAGGCUUGGCAGUUGAGACACCAGCAACCGCAGAGAACACACCUGGUGGGGUGGGUAUUUCCUUGUGCUGCAGCUAAGCAGUAUUAGAGUUGACAUGAAGCAGCUAUAUACCGGAGAAGACUCUGCAGCGUACAAAUAUUAUUGGUCUUCAUGCUUUUAAGGAUCAUGCAACUUCACAUGUAUAGCUUGCACCUACAGUGUUUUGGCCAUGUGUGCAAAUUUGUAGUAGUAAGCUUUUAGGACAAGAUCUUUACAGAUUACAUGAUCUUUACAGAUUACAUGCUAUUGCUGUUAUACAGUGCCUUUGGCUUAAACUUGAAGGUUUUUAGCUAGUCCCAUAUUUUUGUCUCCGGGAGUUGGGAAAAAUACAUAUAGUAUAAAUUUCGGGUAUCUAUCAUCUUACAUUUUUUAAAAUUAAAUUAAUUAUAUAUAUAUAAAUACACACAUAUAUAUAUUUUAAAAUUAUGUGUCAAACAAAAUAUAUAUAAGAUGGAGAGAGUAAUAUACUAACAGUGUUAUGCUACCAUGUUUAAUUUAUUUUAUGUUUUAUAAAUUUUGAAUGUAAAAAAAUUAUAAUCUUUUAUAAGUAUUUAUUUGUUAAUGGUAAGUAACACUAGAUACCUACAUACUUAUACUUAGAAAUAAGUGAAUAAAUAUAUAAUUUGUUUUGAAAAUAGGUUUAUAUGAAAAUGAGUCGAACACUGCUAAAAUUAGAAGUAAAAACAUGUUCCCUAUAGCAAACCUUAGAAAUGAGAUUGUAAGAUGAAAAUAUGGUAUUGCAUCUAAAUAUAAUUAAGAAAAAUCUAAAGCAAAACCUUGACACAAGGGGUUCAGUGGUUCACAGCCACUAGCUACAUUUUGACGUCAGUCUGACAUCUAACAAUUUCUAGCAUAAAAAAUUAUUAAUUUUUUUUAUAUAUUCUUUUGUUUCCGUUUCGUGUGCAAAUAUACCAUUAAUUUUAAAAUAACAUGUAAUUUUAAUGAUGAACAGAAAAAUGGGACAACAUGGAUAUUACUAUUGAAAAUUGCAUAAUAAUUUUCUUCUGCAAGGAUUUGAUAAAUUUGAACCUGUGCACUUAAACUAAUUCUUAUAUUUGACAAAAAAAAUUAAUAUAAUGAUAAAUCUUAUUCAUAUAUUUUAACAAAAUUAUCAAUGCACAUAUAUAUACACUUUAUAAUGUUCAAAAUAGUAAAUUAUCAAAACAUAUAUACUUUAAUAAGUUCAAAUUUCUAUCUUUCAUAACAUCAUAUUUUUUUCUAAUAAUUUUAUGUCUAGAUAAUAUGUUUAGAUGAUGAAAUUCAAUUUAUAUUUAAUUAAAAAAAUAAUAAUAUAUAUAUAAAUAAAAAUUUCUUCCACAAAUUUCAGUAUUCUUAUUUUCAUGAUCACAUAGGUAUCCCAGUGUUAGAAACUCAAAAAUUCUACUGUAUGUGUAUGUGAGGUUUUCUGAGGAAACGAAUUUUAACACAGGUCAAAACGUUAAGAAUUUGAAAUGUAGAAAUGGAUAAAUUUUCGGUUAUGAGUAAGUUUAUCCGAUACAUCUUUGGUAUGACAUUGGAUGCGCCACAAACACACGUUGAAAAACAUAAUUUUUUAUAUUUAUUUUGUUUUCGUUAUAAUUUGAAUAUCCGAUCGGGUUAAAAAAACAAAACUGAAGUUCUAAAAAAAAUACAAUAUCGACACAAAUCUAGAUAUUUUUAUUUUUAUAAAUAAUAGGAUACGUUUAAGUACGAGUCUAGGCGUUCCCAAGUCAAGAACUCCAAAAUAAAAAAUAAAAUCCUCACAAAAUGAAAAUGUUUUGAAAGUUAGAGUUUAUCCGAUAAUCUAUCUUAAAUAGUAGUUCUUUUUCAUCCUACAAGUAGUUUAAAGCUAGCAGUGAAAUAUACGUUAUUUUAAAAUUGUUUAAAUUAGUUGUGUGAAUAUAGUCAUUAAUUUACAUACAUUUGAAUAAUAUUAUUGACUUUUAUUUCUAAAACUAAUUCCAUCAAACAUAUUAUUGUUUUUUUAAAGAUCGAACAUAUUAUUAUUAAACAUUAGAACAAAUGGAAAUCAUCGGUAGUAAAUUUCUCCAAUAUGUAUAAUUUUUUCCUAAAAGGAGUCGGUAUAUAAUAUAUUGAUAUGAAUCUCCUUAUUGUUAUUUUCUUAUGUGUGCCAUAUGUCAUACAGGUAUUUCCAUUUCAUCUGUUUUAGAUUUAGUAAAAAAUUAUUACUAGUUAUGGCAGUUUUCUUGACAAAAAUAUCACAUAAUAGAAGACCGUUGUAGAUAAUGAAACCCUUGAUAUCAUGUAGUAUAUAAAGGGCAAGAGAGCCGAUGGCAAAGACACUAAAACAAGCCUACUACUCUCUCUAUAAUCCAUUCUCUCAGUAUUCCAUUUCAGAUAUCUAUACACAACAAAUAUGGGGAAGGGUAACAAAAGCUUGGUGGGGUAUGAUUGGAAAGUUUUUCUAGUGCUAGCAGUGUCUUUAAACAUUGUUUUGAUAUCCAAAGUAGUGUAUCAGAGAGAUGGAGGUCAAGAAAACAAGAUUGGCAUGCUUUGUGUAGAUGCGGAAAGUGGUAAAUAUGGUGAUGUGCAUGUUGAAACACCGUCUCCUACAACCAUUUCUAGUAACGAUGUUCACAACGAUGUUGGGGAUGUUGGGGACGGUGCUGAUCACAGUGAUGCUCACGUUAUUAUUGAUCUUGAUCAGUGAGUUUUUUGUUCUAUCUGUAAAUAGUUUUAAACAGCAUGAAAAUCUUUUCAUAAAUUUUGAAGAUCUAUUUUAUGCCAUGCAGUAUGUUUUAUUUGUAAUGUUUUUGAUCUAAUAUCUAUGUAAUUCAAUGCAGUGGCAAUCCAACGAUGUACGAGGAGUAUUGGAGGCAGAUGGGCGACAAAACUACCAUUGUGAUACCUGGUUGGCAAUUCAUAAGCUACUUUUCCGAUAAAAAUAACAUUUGCUGGUUUAUGGAGCCGGAUUUUGCCAAGGCGGCUAUCAGGUUGCAUAAUUUGGUCGGAAAUGCCGCGACUCAAGACCGUUACAUGGUGGUAGGCACAGGUUCCUCACAACUCUACCAAGCAGUCCUCUAUGCCUUAACUGCCACAGACAAUUCUAAGCCAAUGAGCGUCGUAUCGGCUGCCCCAUUCUAUUCUGUAAGUUUAAUUUUUCUUAAAAUUUAUCGUAUCAAACCAUGGUAGCAUUUGGAAUAAUUGUUUGCAUCGCAUGCUUGCAGGCUUACCCAGUAUUGACCGACUUAUUGAAGUCUGGACUCCAUAAAUGGGCUGGUGAUGCGUACAAUUACAGUACUAAUGAGCCGUACAUCGAGAUUGUCACUUCUCCUAACAAUCCUGAUGGCUCCACAAGACGAUCUGUGACAAGCGGAGAUAAACGAAUAUUAAUUCAUGAUCUUGCUUACUACUGGCCUCAGUAUACUCCAAUCACUCAUGGAGCAGAUGAAGAUAUCACCCUUUUUACCAUGUCCAAAAGUACUGGUCAUGCUGGGACUCGUAUAGGGUAUUAAUCUUAUCCAUAUCUGACAAAUAAAUAAUCUGAUAAUAAUGAAUCUGUUCAGAGCUAAUUUCUCGGCUUUCUUGACCUUGUAGGUGGGCACUUGUUAAAGAUCCAGAAAUCGCCAAGAAGAUGACUAGAUAUAUCGAGAUCAGCACCAUCGGUGUGUCCAAAGAUUCACAGCUCCGAGCAGCAAAGAUUCUGCAAACUUUGUCCGAUCAAUAUAAUACCACCAACAAUGCUGAAGGGAAAGAGAGAUUCUUCGACUACAGUUACAACGUCAUGUUAAAGCGGUGGAAGGAACUUCGAGCAGCAGUAGAUAACAAUGAAAAAUUCAGCUUGCCGAAAUUUUCCCCUGAUAACUGCACAUUCAGGGGACAAAGUUUCGAGCCACAGCCUGGUAACUGAGACCCCAAGUCACCAAACUAAUCUUAUUCUUUUUUGGUUAUGUAGCUUAUAAUCUAAUGAAAAUCUAAUUAUUUUUUUGUAGCUUUUGCAUGGCUGAAAUGUGAGGAUGAAAGUGUAGAUGAUUGUGCAAAUUUUCUUCGAGGCCACAAUAUACUAGGCAGGAGCGGAAAAUACUUUGGAUCCAGCCCCAAGUAUGUGAGGAUCAGCAUGACGGAUAGCAACUACAAGUUCAAGAUUUUGACCAAGAGAUUGGCUGGUCUCAAGUCUUUAGAUAUCUGAAGUUUCCGUUUAACUGGAAAGCGGACGGGCUUGUAUUGAUGUUCCGCUGAAAACGUAAUAUUUAUAUGUAUCUGGAAUCCAAUUCCUAAUACUAUGACGAAAAUAUGACAAUCCUGUUGCAUAAUAUAUCGAUUCUAAUAAUACUGUUUGGAUGCUCCAUUUUGUGUUUUAUCGUCUCUUUUUCUCCAGAAAGAAUCAGGAGAAAUUUUAAUUUUAUAACCGAACUAAAUUAUUUAAUUGCCCAAAAAAAAACAUGAAAACGUUGUUUACAUUUUUUCUUCUUGGUUUGACACGACUCUGGGUAUUAGACGAAAAAGUUUGAUCCUAAUUCCUGAGACAUAUUAUGAUUUAUGAACCAGUUCAGUCCAAAAAUUGGAUCCUGCCGGUAUCCAUCUAUACGGGCUUCAAACUCUAAAACCCACGGCCCAAUAUCAAUAUUUUGCAAUUUUUAUUAAAUAAUAAUUAUAAUGAUAAUACCUAAGUUAUAAAGUAAACCAAUUUGAUUUAUAAAUAGAAUAAUAUUAUAUUUUUAUAAAUUAAUCAUAUUUUGAUCACAUUUAAAUUUUAAAUAAAUUUGAAAGCAAAAGAUAUUUACUUUUUAUUUUAUUUAGUUUUAAGUAAAAUUAACUUAAAUAAAAUAAUUUGUGAUCGAUGAUAUUUGAACCUAAUAUAAUUCUCUGUAUAUUUUUAAAAUAUAUAUGAGUUGAUUCGCGGAAUCAAACGUGAGAUUAUUAAUUAUUAAAUAUGAAGUUAUUAAGAAUACUAUUUUUGAAGUUGUGUAUUUUCACCUCGUGAAUGUUCAAUACAAAAUAUUAAAUUGGAUGUUUUAACUUUAAGUGGUGAAUGUCAGCCUACUACUGUAUAUUUUAUGAUCCCAUGAAAUAUAAGAAACAUGAUUUAUAAGAUUCAAAUAUAUAAUUAGUUAUAAAGUGAAAUAAAUAUUGACAACUUAUAUUUUAUAAAUGAAGAUCGAUUGAGUGCAUAUGAAUAUCUCGUGGACAAUUCUGACUUUGUAAAUUCAGUUUAAUUCGAAUUGUGGACGAGGAAACUAUGACUCAUUUAUCGACAUAUUUUUUUAUCCAGUUAAAAAUUCACAUCAGUUUGACUCAUUUUAGAAAUACAUGAACUCUCACUAAUUAGGGCAAUUGACUCGGUUUAUUUUCCGUCUAGAAUAAAAAUAUAAAACCCGAGACUCUAAUGUAAUACAAUCUUUCAGCCCGUCCGAUUCUCGCAUGGAUAUUCAUCUGCCCAUCCAUGUACAAACCUUUUGAAACUCUAGCGACAUGCUUAUUAUUGCUUAAUGCUUUUUCUCUUUCUUCUAUAUUUUCACUCUGCCGGAAAGUCUGGUUCAAUGUAACUCAUGUACCACCCUCACUUUGCAUUGCCCAAAUCUCUCUCACAAAUCUUCUUUAUUCUCCAGAUGUAUUCAAAUUCGUAACUUUUUUGAAAACGCCAACAUGAGAAUCAUUCGGGGCUACAAAAAAAAGAGAUGAUAAGAAUCAUUUAGCUAAAAUGCGAAAUACUAUGAAGAUAAGAUAAUGUGUCCAAUUCGUCCAUAUCCACCGUAAUCGAUAAAGAAAUGCUGUUGGAUAAAUUGGAACAUAGGCAUGUCAACUUCAUAUUUAUGCACGUUCUUCUAAGGAGAAUGUAAAAUGUAAUUUUUUUUUAAUAAUUAUUGUUAAUUUGAAUAAGAAGAUAUCUUUUAUUAAAUUGAGAUCCAUACUUUUAGCUGCAAAUAUGAACUAAAAUAUUUUUUUACUAUAUCAAAGUGAAAUUCACACUAAAUUUAUUUUACAAAUUCAAUCUUCUUUUUUAUCAUUUUUUCUCAACUUAGGGCGGUUAUAUUUUCUUUGAUUCAUAUUUAGAAUUGUGAAUAUAAAAAGAAAUUUUAGAAGAAACAUGGAUUUCUUUUUUAUAAUAUAAUAAAUUAAUAAAAAUAUUAUUCUCACACACAUCUACAGUUUAAGAAAAAGGCAUAUUUACUAACCCAUACGUUUUUCAUUUCACGGCCAUGCCUAUAUAUUCGCUUGCUGUAUGCCGCAUUUACAUCUUGUAGAAUAUUGUAGAGAUUUCGAUAUUACACAUCACACGCAGAAUAAAAUAAAAAAACAAUUACAAUCAAAAAAAAUAAAAGAAAUAAAGCUUCCUUUUGCCAUAUAUACAUACACACAGCACAAACAUAAAACUACUUGUACUGAAUUACUGGGAGCUUUCACACCAAAACUUGAGGGGGUUUUGUUUGAAAUGUGAAGAAGAGAUGGAGGGCAUUGAUGAAAAGCUUGAUCUUUCUGUUGAUUCUCAUAACCCAGUUGAAGAUAAUCAACAAGAGGGGCAGAAGCUAGGGUUAGGGUUUGAAAGCCCAAAUCUUGUUGAUCAAACCCUAGAUCAUCAAUCAGGAGGUGAUCAAGAAGAUGGGUUGUGUCAGAAGCUUGAUGAGAUGGGUGUGCAAGAUAAAGAUGGUUUGAUUGGUGAAAAAAAGAUUGAUGGGGUUGGUGAAAAGGAUGAUUUUGAGGGUGAAAAGAAGGAUUUUGAGGGUGAAAAGAGGGAUGAAGGCUUUGAAAAGAAGGAUUUUGAUGGUGAAAAGAGUGAUGAGGGCUUGGUAAAGAAUGAGUUUGAGGGGGAAAAGAGUGAUGAGGGCUUGGAAAAGAACGAGUUUGAGGGUGAAAAGAGUGAUGAGGGCUUGGAAAAGAACGAGUUUGAGGGUGAAAAGAGUGAUGAGGGCUUGGAAAAGAAUGAGUUUGAGGGUGAAAAGAGUGAUGAGGGCUUGGAAAAGAAUGAGUUUGAGGGUGAUGUGAAAGAGGGGGGAGCUGAAGGUGAGGUAGAUGAUACGAAAGGCGAUGCGAAUGGGGAUGAAAGUGAGGAGAAAGGAGGAGAUGGAGGUGAUUUGAUGGGGGUGAAGGAAGGGGGGUUUGAGAAGGAGGGGAGUAAGUGGAGUGAGAUUGAGGAAGAAGAGGAAGAAAAGGAGAAUGGGGGUUUUGAAGUGAAUAAUGAUGAGGGUUUUGCGGGCGAAAGAGAAGAUAUGACUGGUUAUGGUGAUGGUUGGGAUGACAAGUGGAAUGAUGGUUCUGGGAAAAAUGUGGCUGAUGAAGGGCAAGGAUAUUAUGAUGACUAUGAGAAUGGUGGUUAUCCGAAGCAGUAUGACGAGGAAGAACGUUGGCAUAGUAAUGUGGAAGGGGGUUCUGUGGGAUUUACUGAUGGGAAUAAUGGGAGUUACCCUUAUCCGCUGAGGCCUGAUGCUGAGGAUUGUUCAUUCUAUAUGAAGACUGGGGCUUGCAAGUUUGGUUCUAACUGCAAAUUUAAUCACCCGCUCAGGAGGAAGAACCAGGUAUGAUAUGACUUGUGAUUGGUUUGAAUAAGUUAAGGGUUAGUGUUGGUUACUCUUGAAAUGUCUGUAGUAAUUAAUUAGUAAAAAAUUGUGUGUUUCAUUAAAAUGUUAUACAUUUGUUUAAUGUAAUAAGUUUUUGACCUUGGUAAGAGAAUAUAUGGAGAAAUUAUUGGCUUGUUAGUCUAUGUGAAGACUAUAAGGAUAAACAAAUUUUAUUUAUAUUGCUAUGAACCUCAACUUUUGCAGGCAUCCAGGGACAUGUUUAAGCAAAGGGAAGAGAAUUUUGAUAGGCCUGGGCCAACAGAAUGCAAGGUUACCAUCACUAUGGCUCUCUCUCUCUCUCUCUCUAUAUAUAUAUAUAUGUGUGUGUGUGUGUGUGUGCACGCGCGCGCGUGGGUGUGUGUGAGAUUAUUUUUUUAAUGUAUAUUAGGAAUUCAUGACAUUGUUUCCCUUCUUGCAGAUCUUCUCUGGCAUACAUAUAUAUUUGGUUCUUGAAGCAUUAUAUAUUUUGAAUUCAUAUUUUGAUCAUAAUCCUCUGAAUUCAUAUUUUGAUCUGUCUAGUUCUAUUCUAUGGGACUAUAAUGUCUUUUAAGAGAAGGUAGUAGGGUACUAUAAUCCCAUAUAUAUGAGUCAAAAAGAUAAUUGAAUAUUUCAUGAGAUUGCAAUCCUUUAAAUUUAGAGUAAAUAAGGUAAUUAUCCGUGGAUUAUAAUCCACCUAAACAAGCAUGGCCCAGGAGGAUUAUUUCGUUUGAGUCUCAAAGCUAAAAAUGCUAGAAACAGUGUAUUUAAUAAGAAUUAUAAAUUGUCUAUUCACCACUGUAUAUUUUCAAGUUGCUUUAAGAAGCCUUUAUUAGAGAUGCUAAUUACUUGUCAUGAAACUUCACGUUAUUUGGUAUCUAUGUAAGCUUACAAUGUUGGCUUUGUAAUCUUUUUGCCUGCCUCAGUAAGAGUGGGAACCAAGUUCCAGCUAACACAUUGAGAUACUUUUUUUUAAUUAUUACAGUGUGCAUAUGUGAUCUUUGCUAUGUUACUUGGACUCGGCUAGCAGUGUCCGACAUGGAUAUGUGUCCAUGUAUCGGACUCGGUAAUAUUUUGAAAAAUGUACAUGUUAUUGGCCUAAAAAAAGUGUCCUAGUCUAUGUUUGAGUGGCGAGUGUCCGACAUGGGUACUUCAAGGCAAAAUGAAGAGUCCGAGUAACAUAGGAUCUUUGUUAUUGAAGUUUCCACUUUUAUGUUGGUUAAAAUUAUUAUAGCCAAAAUCUUAUUUCCUCUCCCUUUAUUGCCCUUUAUUUUGUCUAGAAUUACAGCAGAUGUUGCUUGUGCAGUUAUACUCAAUCUCAAGUAUCGAAUUUAAAAAUUAAAGAGAACAAGAAUUAUGACUAUUCCUCGAUACUAAUUACCAUAAUCUAUUAAAUUAUAGUUAGUUUUAGUGCUGUCAACAAAGAUUGAUUUGUAUAAAUGUCAUGCUGUUAUAAAUUCAAGCAAAUGUUGCUUGUCCAUUUUAUUCCACUUUGAAGUAUAGGACUCAUAAAUGAAGUUGCCAAACUGUUAACCCCCCCUCCCCUUCACGUUUUUAUUUUCCAAGUUGUCUUUUCACACUUGUUUAACUAUAAGAGGAAAUCCCAACAAUUUUAUAUAUAUUCUCUAAUAAGUUGAACUUGUAUAUGUUAUGUAUUCUGAUUUAGGCUGCCAACUAUCAUUUUACAUUGAGUUGCAGGCUUGCAGCUCCAUUAUUCUUUAAUUUAGAAAAGAGUAGGAGAUAUAGUGGAAGCAGCAAUAUUUUUUGUGUCCCUUUAUCUUCCGUUUUUAUUGUGGUUUACAAUUUAACAUUAUGGUAUAAUUCUUGACCAAUUCUCUGCAUUCCUUGAUGAUGCCAUAAUGUACUUAGCACUGACUUGCAACGCAACUACUCAAGUUUGCAACAGUUGCCACCCUUGACAUUCUUCGCUUUGUUUUUUGCAGUAUCACUCGACACCUGGUGGUUGCAAAUAUGGAAAAGCUUGUAGAUAUAAUCAUGGCAGACCAAAACCUGCAGUGGCUCCAGUCACAGAGUUUAACUUUCUUGGUUUGCCAAUGCGAGUGGUAAAAUUUCCUCUUCUUUCUCUUUUUAUUUUUUGCUGUGAUUACUCAUUUACAUUCUCACAGGUAUUAAUGGAAUCCAAACAUUAUGCAUUUUAUCUGCAUCAAACUAAUGAGUGUUCGAUCCAAAGCAGAUGCAGAUAUGGAUGUAUCUAUAUGUGUAUUACUUGUAUGAAUGCAAAGUUGUAAUCAUUAAUUUCAUUUUUUUUUCAUGGUUAAAAAGUAAAUAAUUAUGUUCAUUAUUUUGGUCGUGGUUAAUACAAUAUUUAUGCUAUGCUAACAGUUAUCUUAAUAAUUUACAAGCAUACAUUUCUUCGGUAUCUCAUUAAUUAUCUACUUUUGUUUAACAUCUAUUUUUUCUUAAAAAUUAAACGGCAAAUUGAUUAAAGACAUGUAUAUCCAUGUUCAUGAUACAGAUAUCAGUUUAGUGAUAUGUAUUUGUUUGUUUCAUCGCUUUCCUAGCAACACUUAUUUAUGCAGUUUUAAUAAUCUCUACCAUUUUUUCCUCUUGAGUGCAUUAUUAAGAAUACUGUGAUGAGCUUUUUGACCGUGUAACAGGGAGAGAGAGAAUGUCCCUAUUACAUGAAAACUAGUUCAUGCAAGUAUGGACCAAGCUGCAGGUUUAAUCAUCCUGAUCCGACAGUGGUGGGAGGAGGCGACCCUGUUUCACAGGGUAGUAUGAAAGAUUCUAUUCCAGGCUGGUCAUCAGCAAGAACUUUGAAUGAGAAUGCUCCCUACAUACCAGUUAUGUAUCCACCAAGCCCAACUGCUGCUCCAAAUGGAAAAUGGAAUGAAUAUCAGGUAUUUUGUAAUUCGUGUGACAAUCUUUUAUUGUAAAAUUUUCAAGUAAAAUUUCUUUCCUCUGGCAACUUCUAUCAGUUUUAAAAUUUACUUUGACGGCUGUUUUGAUCUUUGACCUCUGUCUGACCCUUUACAAGCUCAUGGAUGUUGAUCAUAUGGGGGAGGAAAAGGGUUUCUAAAGUUGUAUUUAUAUUUUCACUGAAUGAAGAAGAAAAAAAAAAUAUAGUUUUUGAAGUUGGACCCCGAUCCCUCUUUACAUGUUUUACCUUGUAAUCAUGCUCUAGAUAGUAGUCAAAACAUUAGCUUGAAGUCAGGAACUGCUUAUUUGGGGAUGGCAAGAUUUGGUUUUUUCUUUAUAUAUAUUUUAUGAUAAUGGUUCUCCUGGUGCUAAAGGAAGUCUAGACUCGAGAGUUCAAUUUUUACCUCUGACCUUCUAUACUUGGAAAAUAUAGCAAUUACUAAAAGAAAAGAUCAAAUAGUAAAAAAAAUAAUCUGUGUAUUGUUUACAAUUCACAUUUAUUGACUUUGAAGUUAAACCCUUACAGGUGCUGUUAGCUUCCUUGCGAUCCUUUUAAAAUUCCAAUUUCUCGUUUACUAAUUUUUUUUCUUUUGAACUCUUGAGGCUCCUGUAUACCCACCACCCGAAGGCAACCUGCCUACUCCCCCAGCAUUUGCCUUGAGGCCCAUGAACAUUCCAGCAACUGAUGCCAACUUCUACGCAUAUCCUCGGCAGCAGCUGAUAGUUGAUGAAUUUCCUGAACGGCCUGGACAGCCCGAGUGCAGUUUUUACUUGAAAACAGGGGAUUGCAAGUACAGGUCUACCUGUAAAUUUCACCAUCCCAAAACUCGGAAGCCAACCUUUACUCUUAGUGACCGUGGCCUGCCCUUAAGACCUGUAAGUUAUUCCUCAGUAAUUUUGUCAGUUAUCUGACCAAAGUUGAGCAUUAGCUAUAUAUAAUUUUAAAAAAAGUAUGCAAGCUUCUAAGUUUUAACCAUAUUUCUUUUGAUUAUCUGACUUAAAGAUCACCAUUAACAAUCUAUAGUUUUAAGAAACAGUAUACAAGCUUUUUAAGUUUUAAGUUUUAACCAUAUUUCUUCUCAUAUUCCGUUUUUGGUUCUCUGAAACAGCGAAAGUACUUGACCUUUUUCUUUUUUCUCUUAUAUUCUCUGAAACAGCGAAAGUACUUGACCUUUUUCUUUUUUCUCUUAUAUUCUCUGAAACAGCGAAAGUACUUGACCUUUUUUUUUUCCUCUUAUAUUUAAUUUAGGACCAGGGCAUCUGCUCACACUACAGCCGGUAUGGAAUUUGCAAGUAUGGGCCUGCUUGUAGGUACGAUCACCCAGUAAGUAUUGUUAGUACCGCUGAGUCUGAUCAAGGUCAGCCUCGUCGGUAUGGCAGACUUGGAGAUUCAGAUGGGAACUGGAGAAGGGAGCCUGUGCAACAGUCAAUCUGAGAAUCAUGCAAUAGUUUUAGAAUCCUAAGUUAUAAUGAGCACAAAUACUAAGAACUUUAUCUAGUUGAGCUUAAUACUUCUAGUUCACCUUUUGCCGAGCUCUAACAAACCUUUAAAGAUUGAUUGAUUUGAUGCUUUUGUCAUGGAAAGCUUAACUAUGGCGAGCAUAUCUUGUUUUCAAGAUGUAUGCUUGCAAAAACAUUGGAUGGUAUACAAUCUUUACUGUGAAGUUGACAUAUUAUGCCUCUUUUGACCAUAAAUAUCUGUUAUUAUCUAGCCCAAGGCAGUCGGUGCAUAUUCAGAACUUGCAAGGAUGGUAUGCAUAUGGCUGAUCAGAGCAGACUCUCCUUGGGUUAAUUUGGUUAUUUUUAUGUUAUGGUUACUCUUAUACAAUACCUAGUUUAUUUUCUAAAGAAGAAAAUGAGAAUGGGAUGACUUUCCUUGAUCAUGUUUAUACCCAUUUAACUACAAGGUGAAAGGAGAGCGGUCUUUUUUUCUUUUCUUUUUUACCUAAGCAUUUUUGUGGAAUUGUGGGUAGAUGAACUAGGAAUACCUUUCAUCAUACCUGGCUACAAGCAUCAAAAGGGUUGCUUGCUGGGGUUAUAGUGGUGGUAAAUUUCUAGGGCGAGGCUAGACUUAGAAAUCUCAGGCACAAGAGCGAUGAAAAACUGUAAUUCGUCGCUGAGUAGUUACGACACUAGAUAUUUGAAAUUCGUCGCCUGUUUGAGCAGUAACAAUACUAGAUAUUUGAUGUUACGGUGUGCGCUAAAAACACCUCUUAGUUUUUGCUAUUAUUAUGAUCAAGUACAUUAUGCAAGUGAUAAAGACUGAUGAAAAUGGACCUGACCUAGCGCUUGCAAAUAUAGUGAUAAAGGGACACUCGGUGUCUCCGAGACCACUGUACUGCAUUACACUGCAGUAGCUAUGAAUUAUGAGUAGACAUUAUUACAAUUCAAUCGGCCUUUACCACAGCGUAGCCAGGUGUUCAACUACAUUAAAGGAUACUACAUUGUACUUCUAUCUUCAACUACUAUUUUGACCUUCGCUCCUAUUAUAUUUAUGCUCAAAUUUACCAAUGUGUAUGAUCAAAUUUUGGGUUCUUGAGCACGAUUGGAUAGCCUAGUCGUAAAGAUUUAUUCUCUGUUGUCUCAGGUCAUGAGUUCGACUCUGACUUACCUCGAGAAUAUCUGAAAACAGAUACUCAUUUGUAAGACUAUAGGCCAUAUUAGUCAAAAAUAAAAUAAAAAAUUUGGGUCCUUAGGAUGGUGGAAAUUUCAAAUUUCGAAUAUCUCGAUUUAAAUCGAGCGCUUCUCAAGCAGUGUACGCUCUUGUUUAGUUGUUAGAACUAAUCGUUAUUCUGGAUUACCAGCCAACAACCUGAUGUCUGUCGUGGAGUAGUGCAAGAAGUUAAUAGCAGCAUUUUCGUAACAAAUUCUUGAGCAGUUUAACAACAAUGGAUUCAAUGAUUCAAGUUUUAAAAAUGGUAGGUUUGGUAGUUCAAGGUGUAAGACAUUUGUCGUUUCACAAUCAAUAGGGGCACCUUUGGUAGUUUACUCGCCUGAAAAGAAGUCAUGCAUACAAGUACUAUGUUCUGGUGACCUAAUUAAUCUCAAUAUCACGGACGACAGUCGUUCGGUUGGAUUGUGUUUUGGAUUCAGCGUAAAUUUUGUACAGUAAAUCCCUGUGAAGCACGGUCAGAAACACGGAAAUCGGAAUUACUUUGUGGAGCAACCUAACCUUUCUAGAUGAUUAAUCGGAUAUAUUAAAAGAAUAGAGUAAUAUUUUUUUUAUUACAUCUAUUAUAUUAAUUUAAAAUAUAUAUGUUGUGAUUAAUCGGACUCAAAAAUCGAAUCGGUAAAAUAAUUUAUAAUGAUUAAUCGGUCAAGUCGGUAAUUUUUAAAACUAUACUCCGAAUUCAUUGUUGGAAUCGGGAAAAAGAAAAUUCUAAAAAAUUUGUCAGUGGAGGUUUUUAUCAUGUACCUGGGGUAAAAAAAUUCAUUUUGAAAAGGUUAUCCUAGGAGAGGUUUUUUUUUUCCUUUUUUUUACUGAUAUGGAUCAUAUACACUGGACGGAGAUCAUCACUUUAGAGACUAAUUUAGGGGUUAUACUGCAAUCAUAAUUAUAUUUUUUAAAUCAAAAUCUGUACCUCGAUGUGCUUGCGUCUUAUUCAAGAAUCAAGAUUGUGCUCAAGACAUUGUGAGAAUGCCAAAUUCCCAAUAUUUAGAAGAAAAAAAAUAUCCUUGGUUUAAACUAAUUUACUCUUUAAUUGUUCAGUUGUGCUCAACAAAAUACAUUUAACUAUUAAUAGUUAAUUAGGAGGCAACAAAUUGAAAGCAUCUAAACACAUUAGAACCUCAAUUACCAUAAACAUUUCGAAAAGGAUCUUAAAACUAAAGCCAUUCCUAUUUCCUACCAAUCCACCAUACCAAGAAUUUAAAAGAACUACAACUUCACAGUGUUCAGAUCUCUUGCAUUCUGAGCAAAUUUACUUGAUCAAGAGCUUCCGUUAGGAAAGCUUACACAUCAUGAGUUUUCCCUUGAAAAUAACCAUCAUCAACAUUCUCAUACUAUCUUCUUCUGCUCAUGGCGAAAUGAAUACGCGGCCUUUUGGAAAAAUAUAUGCAUUUGGGGACUCCCUUACAGACACUGGCAACACACAGUCUGGCACUGGAUCAAACCUUCCUUAUGGCCAAACAUUCUUUCACCAUCCCACCAACAGAUACUCUGACGGACGCCUCGUGAUCGACUUUGUAGCUGAGUUGUUAUCUUUACCAUAUUUACCACCUUAUCGUAACACAACUGCUGAUAAGUCAAGUGGUGUAAAUUUUGCAGUUGCUGGUUCCACUGCUAUUGAGCACGAAUUCUUCGUACAGAACAAUAUCACACGAGAUUAUACCCCAGAGUCACUUGAAACUCAACUUUCUUGGUUUACAAAGUUCUUAGAGAGUCAAGGGUGUAUAGACAUAAAAGCUACAUCACAGAAGUGCAAGGCAGUGUUUGAUGAGGCCUUGAUAUGGGUUGGUGAAAUUGGAGCUAAUGACUAUGCAUAUAUAGUAGGAUCUUCUGUCUCGGAUAGAACAAUUCAAGAGCUUGCAAUCAAGAGAACAACUGAUUUCUUAGAGGUAACUUAUGUGUUCAUACAACUACAUACAUGGUGUUCACUUAAAACCUACAUUUAGCAACACAAUUCUAUAAUGUUAUAUGAUUUGUGUUUGAUCUGUCCACAAAAUGCCAAAAGUACAAUAUAAGCAGGUCGUAAUUGAGUGAAUACAAAAUUCAAAAUUUUUUUGUUGGUGAAUGCAUUUCUAAUAUCCUCUGGUAUACUGAGAGAAGAGCAACAGGAACAAACGGAAGUAUGAAAGAAAAAUGCUAUGUGGCAAAAUUAAUAUGAAACUAGCUCUGACCAUAUAUGAUCCUAGCUUGUGUUGUCAUCCCAGAAAUUGUUCAGGAACUUACAGAAACAAAACUUAAUAAAAAUUGACUAGAAUUUAAGUUCUUUAACAACUAAUAUGUUCAAAAAACAUAUAUAUUAAUUAAGCACCAUGUUACAAAUAUUUAUAGGAAUACGAAAAUAAUAAUUUCAACUGUGUAACAAGAGCUUUUCAAUAGUUAAAUUAUGCACUCAUCGAUCAGAAUGAAAAUAGGACAUGCAGUAAGAUAUGGCAAAGCAGAUAUCGGGAAUAGGUUUCUUACCUAUUAUUUGUGAUUCAGAUAUUGUUGUAUAAGGGUGCAAAGUAUGUUGUUGUGCAAGGUCUUCCUCCAACAGGAUGCCUCACAUUGGCAAUGUAUCUCUCUCGAGAAGAUGACCGAGAUGACAUUGGAUGUGUUGGAAGUGUGAACAAGCGGAGCUACAGUCACAACACCAUCUAUCAAGCCAAAUUGCAAGUUUUUAGGAAACAGUUUCCAGAUGCUAUAAUUGUUUAUGCUGAUUACUGGAAUGCUUACCACACUGUCAUAAAGAAUGCACAUAAUUACGGCUUCAAUGAGCUGUACAAAGUUUGCUGUGGAUCCAGUGGUGGGCAGUAUAACUUUGAUUCUUCUGGACCGUGUGGCUCGCCUGUCUCAACUACCUGUGCCAAUCCCUCUGAGUAUAUCAAUUGGGAUGGAGUCCACCUCACUGAAGGCAUGAACAAGGUGGUUUCUGACUUGUUUCUCCAUGGAGCACUCACCAGCCCACCAUUUCAGUACCUGCUAAGCAUUAAAAAAAACUCUGGAUGACUGAUAAGUGAUAGCACUCAUCAGCGCAGGAUUUUAAUGCUCGUCAAUGUGAUCAACAAUUCAACUCAUAAUUGCUACUGUAUGAAGUGUUACUUAUGUAAUAAUAUUAGAUUAGAGUUUAUAUUCUAAUAAAGUGCAAGCUUUAUCCCAAGGCCGGAACUUGUUUGCAGAUUUGCUAAGGAAGGGUAAAUUAUCUUAAGGACAUGAUUACCACCCAAAAGGAUAAAAUUUAAGUUCAUAGUACUAACGCCAUCACUGUCUACCAGGUAUCUUAAUUCUCAACAUCGUGUAUGUAGAGCACAUAUAGGUUUUACACUGAAGCUUUAUGAACCAACAUGCUAGUUCCUCCAAUAUGUGUAUAAGUAUAACCAUUAUCAGUGACCAAGGAAAUGAGGCAGAAGCUACACAGCCUUCAUUACGAUCAUAUAUAACUAGGCCAUGCACUGAUAUGACCAGCGUGGAUAUUCACCACUACAUAUCAUUCAGUUAAGGAAUUAUAGUAUUCUUGUAAAAAAAACUUGUCAGUUCCAUGCUGUCUGCUGCAAGAAAGGUAAUAAGACUUAGUAAUGCAAGGUAAUACUGCAGCAAUGUGAAAGAACUGAUGCACAGGGGAGAAGUCACUCUUAAGUUCCCCAAGCUACUCCAUGCACGAUUAUGGCUAAGCAAGUUUGUCUGCAAAAUAAAAGAUACAGGUACUUAAAGAUGGUACAAGAUUAGAUCUUAUUUUGACUCAAUUUACUCCAUCUCUGCUACCUGCCCUUGUCUUCUUCCAUAAAUUGAAGGGUCUUCUAUGAGAAAAUGGAAGCCCCCCAUCCCUUCUUUAACGGCUACAGGUAUUAACAUUCCGAUGGAACAGAUUUUGAGUACCUUAACUUGCUUGAAGUAAAUAAUCUAGUGAAUAUUAAGACUGCAUCAACAUUCACACACAAAGAAGACUAUAAUUAGAAAUUUAGAAGUGGAUUAGGCACAUAACCUGGAAGCGAGGAAUUACAUCUGUGGGGCUCCUUGAGACAAAACUUUCAGUAGAUAGUCAAAUGAAUGAAUGCCAUAAAUGCCACCCUUUAGCUGGAAACCAGAUUGCAGAUAUGGUGUUAAAGUGCAUUAGAAGUUUUAACUGUGUCAUCUGGAGAAAGCAAAGUGUUUUAUGGUAGAUAGAACUGAUGAAUUUAUUUCCCUCCAUAUGCAAGGACAUCACUGUCAUUUGGAAAUAACUCAGAGGUAUAUAUAACAAGCACAUCAUCAAGACUACCAAAUAAAGCAUACAAGAUAGCCAUAAUGCCUUUCUUCUACAUAUAUUUCUCUUUCCAAAUCACCCUCAUUUUCAUAACCAUUUCAAUCAUUAUCUUCCCUCCUCCCACACAUGCUUCUACCCCCACACAGGCCUCUACUGCAGCAAGUGGUGCAAAACUUAGUACCUUUAGAAAGAUCUAUGCCUUCGGUGAUUCCUUUACUGACACUGGCAAUACAAGAAGCAUUGCUGGAGCAGGCGCUUACCUCUCUGCCUCAAAUCCUCCAUAUGGUCGCACAUUCUUCCACCACCCAACAAACAGAUUCUCUGAUGGACGCCUUGUGAUUGAUUUUUUAACUGAGACACUCUCUUUACCGUAUUUGCCACCUUACCUUCAGAAAGAGGCUGAUAGAUCACAUGGCAUUAAUUUUGCUAUUGCUGGUUCCACAGCUAUAGAACACAGUUUCUAUGUAAGGAACAAUAUAACAGCAGCCUACAGUUCUCAGGCACUUGAAACUCAACUUGGCUGGUUCCAAGAGUUCUUGGGCAGUCAAGGGUGUAGAAGCUCUACAACAACACCUCAGCAGUGCAAUGCAGUAUUUGAUGAGGCUUUAAUCUGGUUUGGUGAAAUUGGAGUAAAUGACUAUGCAUAUAGUGUUGGUUCUUUUGUAUCAGGCGAUACCACACGCCAGCUUGCAAUUAAGAGUGCUACUGAUUUCCUGCAGGUAAUUACUGCAUAAUGACUGUUAUUUUAUAGUCAAUAUACCCCUCAAUUACUUGAUCUAUGUAAACUCAUAUAAAACAUAUAUCAAUUAACUAGACAUUUAAAACAUCAAUUAUGUCCUAUUGAAUAAUUAUAGAAUCUGGUGCAAGAGUUCCUAGUUCCUCAUAAUUACAGAUAAAUUUUAAAUUAGAUACAAAAAUACAGAAACAAUCUCAUACAUCAGCAAAACAAUAUCAGAUGAAGUGGACAGAAGUUACCUUCUGUUGUUUUACAGGUAUUGCUCAGUAAAGGUGCCAAGUCUGUUGUUGUCCAAGGUCUGCCUCCAAUAGGCUGCCUCACAUUGUCCAUGGGUGUCUCAUCAGGCUUCGAUAGAGAUGAUAUUGGAUGUGUUGCAAGCGUGAAUGCCGUGAGUUACUAUCACAACAACAUCUACCAGGCCAGGUUGCAAGAUUUAAGGAAAGCGUUUCCAAAUGCUAUCAUUGCUUAUGCUGAUUACUUCAACGCUUACAGGACUGUCAUGAGGAAUCCACGCAACUUUGGCUUCUAUGAGCUCUACAGCGCUUGCUGUGGAACAAGUGGCGGAUCAUAUAAUUUGAACCCGUUAGCACCAUGUGGCUCAGUUUAUGCAACCUCGUGCCCAAACCCAUCUCAGUACAUCAACUGGGAUGGAGUGCACCUCACUGAAGCCAUGUACAAGGCAAUUUCUCAAUUGUUUUUUACCGGAGGAGCCAUUCACCCUUCAUUUGCGUACUUAAUAAGCCACUGAAAAAAUAAACUACUACUGGCUGGACAGAUCCUGAGAAGUUCUGUUACAGUGAUCUCAGUGAGCUAAUCUUCUCAAUUAUAUGUAUGUAGUUGGAUAAUAUAUAGUACUAGUAGACGUCGAAUUUCUUGAUAUGAAUAACAUUGAAUGUUCAAUAUAUAAAAUAGACACCUCUUACGUAGCUAAGAGUUUUCAGGUGAAUAACUAAGUUCGAAUUAAAGCAUAAGAAUGACAAGCACAACACAUUUAGCUUCUAAUUUCAUAUCAAUAACUGAUCUCUGCCUACAGUAAAAAAACUCGAGCAAUACGAAAGAGCACAGCUAGCUAGAACCUCAUGGGCAAGCAAUGUUUUUACUGCCUUUAUAUUUUAUAUAUGUUCUUUACAUUGGAUAUUCACCACAAAAACAAUAGAUAAUGUGGCUGUUUGUUUGGUGGAAGCAGAAGCUGUGUUUGUGUAAAAAAGUAGAAACACUUUUAAGAAGUUAAGAAUGCUAACUUCUCUCUCACAGAUUCUACUUCUUUUCCAAACACUUUUUUAACUUAUUUACUUCUCAGUUCUAAUUCACUUCUUUACUUUAAGUAAGAAAUCACUUUUUUUAAGUUUGGCCAAACGGCCCCAAUAAACGAGCAGCAAGCUGUGUCACUGACCUUACAUGGCAGGAAACUAUACAUGGACCUAGCAAUAAUAAAAAUUACUAUCAGAGUGCAGUUAUGACUUGCAAGACCAGCAGUCCUCACAAUAAAAACUGAAUUAUUUUUUCACCUCAGCACACAAAUGGCUAGCAGUAUGAUCAAUUUACACAAAAAGAAGCAUUGAAAUUGUGAAAUAUAUAUAUGAAUGGAGUGUGAAAGCAAUCACAAAUUAGGGGAAACAAUUAGAAAGAAGAAACAGGAGCUUACAAAAACAGCAUGCAGGCCUGGUUAAAAGUAGAUUUUACAGGUUUUUAACAUCCCUCUCCGAGUCUCCCACCAUCAAACCUUCAUCUGUUCAAGAUUUACUCGCACACACACACAUAUGACUUGUACCUGAUCAAAUUAGUAGUUUUUUUUUAUUAUUAUUAGCUUAUAGGCUUUUCUACACUUGAGUAUCUUUCGAUUUUUCAUUAAUCUUUAUUUAUAAAAAAUAUCCGUUUAUAAAAGAAAUUAUUCAUUUUAUUAAAAAACACUAUUUAUGUUGUAAACAAUUAACAGAAUAUUAUUAUUAUUUUAUUAAAAACCCCCUAAAUAAUUUUCAUGAAUAAAAUACAUGAGUGUCAACCUUAUUUUAUGAAUAAAUGUAUGAGUGUCAACUUAAAAUUAGUUUUAGUGAUUAUUCAUCACAAGUUAAACUGUGAAUACCCGUAAAUAUAAAUAUUUGUUUCUUAAAAUUAAUUAAAUAUCUAUCAAAUAUAAUAAUUUAUUUAUUUUAAUUAUUCACGGCUUGAAAAUUUAUAAAUAUGUGAGAUGCAUAGAAACCCUCUUUUCAGAUAAAUUAAAAAGUUAAUUAUUUAAUUAUUAUUUCGAUAACAAAACAAAUACUUGUCACUAGGGGUGAACACGGGUUGGGUUGGCCGGGUUAGGGGCAAAAAUUCAACCCAACCCAAUUUAAUCGGGUUAUAAAAAUUCGAACCCGUUAACCCUCAAAAAUAUUUCCAACCCAACCCUAUUAUUCAUACGUUGGGUUGGGUCGGGUUUAUCGGGUUUUAUCCUGUCAAAUUUAAAAACUAACAAACACAAUUUGUAUGUAACUUAGUAGUUUAAAUAGACUACACAUUGCAGAAACACAUUGCAGCAUUUCAAAAUUCUGGACUCAAUCCCAGUCCCAGAGACAUAGAUGCACUAGUAAUAAAUUGCAGCAUUUGCUUUUCAACUCCAUCACUCUCUGCUAUGGUGAUUAACAAGUAUAAAAUAGACAAACAGAUUUAAACUACUAAGCUACAUACGGAUUGUGGUUAAAUAGACAAACACCUUGCAUUUGCAUAAUAAUCUAAGGAUGGUUACGAACUAUUAUUAAUAAAUUUAUGAAUAUUUACAGAGAAAUUAACAUAAUAACAAGCUAUGAACUAGAAGCAUAGAGAAAUGAUUUAGGUCAGAUGCUAAUGGGCUAGGCUGCAAUACUUUGAUGGACUGUUAUAAUAUCUAGCCUGCAAUACUUUGAUGGACUGUUAUAAUAUCAAUAGUGGACUAAUGGACUAUGUUAUUUUAAACGGGUUGGGUUGGGUUGGGGUUAAAAAAUUAAAAACCCUGACCCAACCCAAUUUAUUCGGGUUAAUAAAAAACGAACCCAACUACUUCUCGGUUUGGAACGGUUCGGUUUGGUCGGCCGAAAUAAGGUGCGGGUUGGGUCGGUUUUGCGGGUUAAACGGUUUUUUGUUCACCCCUACUUGUCACGAACACCCAACUUCUCCGUGAUAUCAUUUUAAAAUUGGUUAUUUUAACUUUGAAUAAAUCUAUCGAUUACUCCCUCUGUCCCAUUUAAUUGUAUACGUUUCUUUUCAACUGCUCGACACGCAUUUCAAUGCUCUUAUAAAAUAUAGUUCCGUAACUUAUUUUUGAGAUUUUCUUUUUCUGAAUAAAAAUAUAACAUCCAAAUUUUAAUUCAGAAAAAGAAAAUUUUAAAAAUAAAUUACACAACUACACUUUACAGGAGCAUUAAAGUCCGUGCCGCGUCCCCGUCCCCCAAUGUAUACAACUCAGGGGGACGGAGGGAGUAUUUUAUAAAUUAUUUAAAUAAUUUUUAUUCUAUAACUUCAUUGGUAUGCAAUUUUAUAAUUCUGAUUUGAUUUAUCGUUGAAGUUGAUUUUUCCUUUCAUUCAUAAUUUUUUUUUUUUUGACAAAUUCCUUUCACUCAUUAAUCUUUCUACAUUCUACAUUUCUGCUCGGUAAAUAAUGCUAUAGAGGCUCGGCCCAACUUUAUUAAGCCAAUGCAUAUCGGAUACAAUUCAGAUUGCAAAUGAGGCGGGCCAGGCCCAAAGUUUAAUAAACUAGUUUAUAAAUUGAGGACUCCCUGUGCCCAAAAACCAACGACUAAACUUUUAAAAUUCGGCGAGUACAGUAUAGAUUUAUUGUUGGAGUUAAUUUUUGCUUUUGGACAUGUUAAUCUUUCUGCUUGGCAAAUAAUGGCAUACAGGUUCGGCCCAAUUUUAUUAGGUCAGAUGCACUUCAGGUUGCAAAUAUGGGCCAGGCCCAAUGUUUGGACUGGUGGUCGUUGACCUUUACUCCUCGUGUACUUGCAGUCGAACUAAAAGCUUAUGUUCUAGUUUCUAGUUCUACGAGGUUUAUGUACGUUGUAAAACUUGUAAUACCAUUCAUUGCUCUUAUAAAUAAAUAAAUUCGAUACAAUUAAAUUAUUAAUCUCAUUCACAGAGAUGGAGAAUUUCAAACUAAACAAAUUAUUUUGUGUUUUGGUCUUUCUAAUUCUCUCUUUUCAACCUUCAAUUCAUGUCUCAUCGAUUUCUCCUUCUCACAGCCAGGUGUGUGUAUAUAUAUGUAUAUUGUAUCUAUAGUCUUGUUCAACUGUUCUUGUUUUUGUGAACCAAGUGAAUUAUACUUAUAUGUAAUUGUUCUUGUGAUCAAUGUGCAUUCUAGAUGCAUGUAUAUAUUAAUUGCCUUUGCUUAGAGUAGAUCAAUCUUAAAUUGAUAUUUGUGAUAUUAGGAAUUUCUAUUUACUGUUUCGAUUAUACAUGAUUUACAAACAUUCAAUUUUAAGGAUAAUACUAGACUUCUACUUUUAUCAAAUCAAUAAUGAUAAGUUGAUAACGCUUUUAGCAGAUCUAAAUCAUGGUUACUUUUGUCGAUAGUAAUUGGUAUCAAUUAUAUGCAAAACAGGGGAAGUAGAUAGUAGUUGGACAAAUUAUGAUUGGGGGUUAACAACACAAUAUAUUAUUUCCGGAUCCUAACUUUACGUGUUAUUCGUGGAAGUUGGAUUAAUCAGCUAAUGGAACGAGCAUUAUUUUUAGGUAGAGUACUCCGUAAAUACAUGCUGCUGGUAGGAAUUCGAUUGAUUUCAAAAUGGUGAUGAUUCUUGGAAUAGAUCUUGCAUUCAUUGCCAUACUAACAGUCUAACAUACAUUCAUAUAGUGUUGCCCUAGCAUUCCUUGUGCAUUAAAAGCUCUUUAUAUAAUUGUCUAUGUUAGAAUGUAAUCACUGGCUUUGUUUAAUGUAGAUUGAUUUAAGUGUUGAUCACAAAUUUUAGGAAGCACUUUACUGUUUACAUUCUAUUUGAUGCUACACAGAUUUAAUUGUAAUACACAAUAUUAGGGUUCUACUUUUGAAAACAUACAUAAUAUCCCUUUCAGCCAAUAUGAGUAAAGAUUUAUUUUCACUUUCGUUAUUGGAAUAAAUUAUAUAUUAGAGUCAUAGAGUAGUAGAUAGGCAAGUUACUAUUAUAUUCUUCUAAGUUAAUUUAGAAGUAAGAAUCUUUCUUGAAACAAACUCUACAUCUUUAUAUAUAUCAUGCACACUUUUUGCUUCAUAUUCAGAAUGAAAAUGACACUAGAUCCAAAUUUUGAGAUGGGGAGACUUGAUCUUACAACACAUUCAUGAUCCAACAAUAACUUUCCGUGAUUCUUUGAAGAGUUGGAUCAAUCAGAAUAAUCAUAAAUGUUAACAAGAAUGUAUCUGUAUAGACAAAGUUUUGAUCCCCUAGGUAGAAGGAUGACAUAAAGAUAAAGUAUAAGCUCCGGUUAUAUUCCAAAUAGGCUUUCGUUCAUAUUCAUAUCCAAGUUAUUAAAGUAGAGCUCUUGCAUACUUUGCACUGAAUGUUUAGAUUUAUUUUUGCAAUUGGUCAUCAGUGCUCUUUGCUCUUGCGAAUCUUUCGGUUUCCUACACCUUUGGAAAUAUUCCAGGUUCAUAAUGUUAAACUGCUUUCAUUAUAAUUGUUUUCUUUCUUUCACUACAGGCUCAAGAAGAACAUGCAGCUUCAAGGUAAAUGGCUUUUCUUGAUAAGUUAUUUGCGACAUACACCACAGAAUGUACCGAAUAAAACUUUUAAUUUGAUCAAAUAUGUUUACCAUAUAUUGACAUGCAGGCUUCAUAAAAACAAUGACGGGAAUGCUGAUGAAGUGCAUUGUUCCAGAGAAAGAAGCAGGGCUGCUUGGAAGAUCAUUGAGGAGGUAUGCAUAAAUCAAUGGAAGUUACAAUCAAAAAACUAUUAAUGUGGUAACGAAUUUGAAAACUGUUCCUAUAUGCAGUAUCUCAUGCCAUUUGUGGAACAAGAAAAGUAUCAGCUUUCUCAACAAUGUAGGCUUCACCCUGACAAUGAUAUCUACAGAGAUCAAGAGCAGCACAAGAUACACGUGGACAUAAACGAAUGGCGUUGUGGAUACUGUAAGAAAAGCUUCCGAUCAGAGAAAUAUCUUGACCAGCAUUUUGACAACAGACACUCCAAUCUUCUAAAUAUUGUAUGUAGAUCCUUGACUCUUACUUUUCAUUAAAAGCGAACAAAAUUUGCAGUUAUCGUGCCAUUUUAUUUGAGCGUGUAAUUUGUUUGUUGGUGUGUUCCUUAGAAGGGUGUGAAGGUGCGAGUCUGUGAGAGCAGUGAACAUUGUAUUACCUGUAGGGUAUUAGCUACCUUUGUAUGGUUUGAUAUAAUCUGGGAUUACAGGGUAAAUGAAAGUAUGAUUUAUACAGCAGAGAUCUAUUGCUGUAUGUUACGAAUAAAAAACAAUUGGAGAAGAUCAGAACGAGCGGCUAGCAUUAUAAAGAAGGGUAGCGGUCCACAGCCAUUACUGUGGAGCACUUAGGUAACACACAGAUUUUGGUCCGUUGGCUGCUGGACAUGGGAAUCCCCGUCCAGCGCUAAAAAAGCGCUGGACAUGUUAAAAUUUUAAUAUGAUCCUGGCCGCUGGAUAUGCAUCCAACGGCCUAAAAUCUGUGAGUUCAUUAACCAGUCCCUGGCAUAUGACUGCCAGGGACCCGGACCCUAUAAAGAAUUAAUACUUGCUAGAAACAACGGUCAAAAUUAUUUCAUUAGACAGAUUAAUCAUGAAUGUGAUUUAUAAUAAAAUAAAUUUCAUUGUUUGGAAUCCUAAUAUUUAGCUAUUACUUUGAGUUCAAACUGGGAAAGAACAGUAAUCGCUGAUCUGGCAAAAUAGUCAUGUUGCAAUAUUUCCACUUUCACCUUAUUUUCAACGUAAUUUUUUUCUCUUGUCAUAUGGCAAUUUUUAGUGGAAACAGACUAUAGAUUCUGUGUCAGUAAUUAACAUUAAAAUACAAAAAAUUGUAUUAUAUCCUACACUUUCCUUCGUUAAGUUGUUAUGGUUAAUCGAAUGUGUUGAGAUGGAGCCUAGGUUCUUGAAGCACGACUGUAGGCCUUUACUAAUUACCCAUCUUUGAAGUUCUUAUUUGUUGCUUUUGGAGGAGUUGUGAUGUACUAAGGGUUUUGCACUUUUUAUAAAUUCAGAGUCACAGCAAGUGCUUGGCUGAUUUGUGUGGAGCUCUUCAUUGUGACCUUGUAACGGAUUUCAAGGCCAAAAAGAAUAAAUGCAAUCCUUCAGCAUCUGCAAGGAACAAGCACUUGUGUGAGGUUCCCUUCAUCUACUAUACCUCUCUUAUUGGUAAUUAAGGUUUUUGUUUACUCAUUGCAAAAUGUUUUUUUGCAGGGUCUUGCUGAUAAGUGUUUUCCUAUAAAUCAGGGGCCCUCAGCUAAUCGACUUCAUGGUAUCAUAUCUCACACACACGGACACAUCUAUAAUAUUUUUUGUUCUGUUAUGUGCUUUCUUAUAUAAAUUCUCAUGAUCCUGACAGAAUUAUUCUUGCGUCAAUUUUGUGAUGCGCACACUUGUUCAGGAGGGCACAAACCAUUUUCCAGGGGAAGCAAGGUGCUUGCUGUUCUUAACUUUUUUAGACUAAUUUUAUGAAUUGAAGUCCAAAUCCAAUUUGAAGAGGCCAUUAUUAUUGCUCCAGAUGAUAAAUAUUCAUAAAGAUUAUCUACCGACGAAGAAUCAAAUUAUCACUAUAUUUAUUCCUUUUUCUUCCUCUUCUCCUAACUGUGCCAGUGUUAUAUUUAUGCCUUUGCCUUUGUGUGGUUUAAAAGUUGGGAACAAGUCGCAACAUGUGACUUAUUUCAACUUAUAAGUCGCAAAAGAGAUUUGCUAGCCAGCCAAAUCACCGGUCUGUUAAUCUAGGUUAAAUGUUGGCACUAAAAAAAUAAUAUGAAUUUUGUGUUUGCAGAAGAACUAUCUAGAGAACUACUACUAGCUGUCCGGUUUUACGUAAAAGACCAUGGGGUCUUGAAUCUUGAUACACACAUGCUAUGUACUUGUAGGAGAGAACUAAGUGUAUUACUUUGGAAUAUGUUGCCCAUUCCAAUCAAUCAAAUUCCUCAACCAAACAGUAAUAAUUUGGAAUGAGCUUGAGAUAGCGGUGGGUUGUGUAGUUUGAUUUGAUGGACACCUAAAAUAAUAAUGUGAAGAGCUAGGACUUGAUUUAGUGAAAGUGAUUUUUAUCUAGACACCCUUGCAAGCUUAAGAUAAUAUAGCCAUCGGUGAAACUAGAAUUUUUUGUAUUUGUAAUUUUGUUAUAAAUAUUGUUAGUUAACAUUUAAAAAAGAAAGCAAUAUAUGCACCUUAUUUCUUAGGUGGUGUUUUUAGUUUUUCACUCUAACAGUUUGCGUAUAACAAAACAUCAACAAAAACUUAGUUAUGAUGACUCAUAAGGCAGAGGUAUGACGUAGUAAGCUUAUGACGUGUCUUUGUUAUUAUGAUUUAUGAGGAGGUAUGAUUUUAAUGAUGUCUCGUUCGAUAUUUGCAGAAGCAUACUAGCAUUUUCUACCUUGUUAUUUCAAUUUUGACCUCAUUGCUGGUUGCUAUCUUUUACAUCGUUGUUUAUGUGUAUAGAAGGUACGAUUUAAAACUCUAAUCUCCAUAAUUUGUUCCUACCUCUUACUUUACUGCUACGGGUUAUAAUAUAUUUGCGUAUUUCAGAGGAAUGAGAAAGGACAGCCAAGGAUUUAAACGCAUCUCACGACGGGGACAAAAGCCAAAACCAUCAUAGCGGUAAGCACCUGACACCUAACAAAAAGAAAGUGGAUCUCUGUGCUUACAGUCAACUAUUAUAUGAAAUCAGUUCACAGGUAUUGUGUUGGUCGUCUCACGUUUCUUUUGUCUUACUCUUACUCUUGUGUAUAGCAAGCUUUUCUGGAGUUCACCAAGUCACUUGCAAGAUUGAGAACUCUGACCAUGAAGAUCUUAUAGUGAUGAAACUUAAAAAAAUCUUGGAAACUCCUUAAAAUCAAAGAUUUUUUGGCGUAGACAACCUUUCAAUAGGUGUAACUUUUGUUGUAUAACAGGGUUCUCAUAAUUUGGUUCGAUCAGUUCGUAUAUAUACUACACUGAUUUCUUUUUCUACUCAGUUGAUUGUAUAAUUAAAUGUAGAAAAUAUCAUUAAAUAAAUAUGUUUAUCAUAUUAAUAAAUAUGUUCUCUACAAAUUAUGAGAACCCUUUGCAUUGUACUGUUUGCUGCUUAAUGAUCCUUUCUAUAUCGACCUAAGUUAUGUUAAUUUUGCCUCCAUUCCUCCAUUUGACACUGAUGAUAUUCACACAUUCCAGAAAGAAGGCAUGAUCUGUAGUGACUCGCUCAGAAUAUUUUCUGUGAAAUCAACGUGGGAAUCAGGCAUUCAGGAAGAACAGAUCACCGCCUGUAAUUCUUCAACUAGUGUCUUAUUCAUUGUUUGUUCAGUUAGUCUGUGUACAUUGAUUUACACGCCUCUGCAAUUAAAUCAACAAUUCUGUUUUAUCCCUACGUCCUUUGCUUGCAACAGGUUGGUUAGAGUUUUUCUUCACUUUUAGUACAUCCUAUUUUUUUAUUCAAUUUUUACAUAAUGCAGCAGGUUCUACCAGUUUCCACGCCUGGACUCCUUUAACUAAUCCUUUUUAACAUUUUCACCGACGUUACGUUAGCAUUUCCAGCACGAAGCUGCAACAAUGGGUUUAGAUUUCCAUCCCAGCACCAAGCACCCUUUCUCCUCCACAAUGGUAUACCCUUCGCAGUACUCACGUUUUCCUAGCCACUCUUUUGCCCGAGCAAUCAUCUUGAUUGGUGCGGGCUGAAACCCGGCUCUGCUCAUCCUCCUGCGCCAUUGAUCUACCCUCUCGUGUCUCUCCAUCCUUGCUGGCCCCUCACAACUCACGAUGUUCUUAAUCUCCUCAGCAAAGUAGAACUGUUCAAUCUUUGCACGUCGUGUGUCAUAUUUAGGCAGCAUUGCAUCAAGAGAAUCGAAUAUUGCAGAAUAGUAAUGCAGAGCUUCCAUAAACCUCCCAAGGAAGAAUGGCCCAUUAUGGCUCGAAUCCUGCUCAACAAGAACUAAAACCUUAGGGGAUAGCUCGUGAAUUAUUUGCAGAACUGCGUUUAAUGCACCUCUGCUCUCUUUCACCACACAGUGCAGCUGAAGAAUGCUAUUGAUUGCAACAACCUCGUUUUUACGGAGUUUAAUAUCUUCAGGCCUAAGGUUUUCCAAGCUACUCUCAACUACUGAGAAUUCCAAAUUUAUUCCCAAGCUCCCAGCAUAGGCCUCGAGCUCAUCCCCAAUGAUCUGGUAUUGAUCAACGCAAAGGCCAACACCUGUGAUUCUAACACAAUGUGGAGGCUGGCCAGUCCGGUUGGCGAGACUAUUAAUUAGAUGACGCCACUGCUGACCAUGUGGCAAACCAAGGGACAUGCCCAAGUCCACCACAUGAACGAACUUCUCUCCCUCAAAGGCUUCCAAUAUCGAUAAAUUGGCUACAAAAUGUCCGAAUUGAAUGUGUGGACAGACUUCAUAGACAAGGCGUAAGGCUUCUUCCUUCUUCUCAGAUGCAAUGUCCAUUAUAUUCAUUGUUGCUGCAGUUAAACCAACUGUCCCUAGUGGCUGAACAAGUGCCAGCCGAUCAGUAAGUCCCUGGACAAAGCACGAAGCAACACGCUGAAAGGAAGACCCAAAGACCAGAGCAUUUGCCCUGAGUUCAGCCAGUAAAAUUGAGGCAUGUGACUUAUCUCGACAUGCCACAGCUUCAGCACAUGAUAUCAGAAGCUGCACAAGUCUCAUUCCAUCAGCAACUCCAUCCUCUCUCGUCUCCCCAUUCUCCGGUCCAGUAAUCUCUGAUGUUGCCUCUUCAACACCUUCAGCAGCAAGGUACCUCUGUGUAUAAGUCUUUAUGUGGUCUCGAAUGUGGAGCCCUGGCAGGCUAUUCAAGCUACUAGUGCUGAUCGUGCGACUGAUCAUGCUGCUGCUUCUACUUCCCACACUGCCCUUACUGUACAGGCUAUUGUAAGUACUUUCAAGAAACUCACCCAUGCUGGUGGUUCUUUUCAACCUCUUAUAGCUCCCAGUUUCAUCAGAUAAAGUCGGAAUCCAGGUCGAGGCAACAUCAUUCACAUUCUGUAAAUGCACAAAUGGAUAAUCAGCCAUGGCUGAACUUCGCGAAUCAAGGCCACUCAGUUGAACAUUCUGUUCAUUGUCAUACAAAGGAUGGGCCGAGAAACUAUAAGCCAUGGCACAACUCAACUUACUGGUAUGUCCCUCACUCUUGCUCCUUAUUUCUCAACUAAUAGAUAUUCAAAUGAGCUCUGAAGGAACAUAAUACAUCGCACAACUGCCUUAAAUAGAACUCUGAAUUCUUGUUCAUCGUCGAUUACUAGGUAAUCUACUUGAAAACAAAUGCUGAUUAAUAUAAAACAAAGGUCAUGGUGGGCUUUGGAACAAAAAAGUUUCUGUCUGCAUGUUAAAGGUUGAGCAUAAACUAUAACAUAGAUCAAUCAGAGAAAGCCGAAACUAUGUAUUCUCCUAAACUUUGGGAUCUUAUACAUUGGCCUGGUUGCAACAACCAAACUAUUGAUGCUCAACAUUUUAUUUUAUUUUUCCUCUAAAUAAAUAUCUGCGAAGCUGAAUCAGCAUGAUGUGACAUUGAUUUCAUAAAGCAUUAUGCUAUAUUCUUCUUAUCAGCUAUUGCGAUUGUCUCUUGAAUUGUUUGCUGAUUCUAGCAGGGGCUUGGCCAGCCAUUGGAAAGAAAAUUAGCUAGUCACAUCAAAAAUCUCAAUAUAUUUGAUUGUUCAAAUAUUUUAAAACUAACCUGUGUAAUUCUUUUAUAGAUGCCUUCAGAUACGUGUAAAAAGUAAAAAAGACAAAUACGAACAAAGGGAGUAUUUGAUUAAAAGUUGGGUCGGCAUCUGACCCUCCCUGUUCUAACCUUGUGGCUAGGCCUAAGCUCCUUAGUACUUAGAGCAACAAUGUAUCAUACUAAAACUCUAAAGAAUAAGUUUCAACAAUACAUAUAACCUCAUGCUUUCUGAAUAUUCUUUUUAACAGUGACUUCUUGUACGGCCGGCCUGAUUAUAGAAUUUAUGACAUAGUAAACGCAUGAAAGGAGACUUAUUGUACACAGUGUUGUACUAAUGGCGAAGGACUAAGACCUGAAUUACGUAUAUAUACAAAGUGUUAGUCCGUAAAAAAAAAAUUAAAAUCUUGGCAAAAGUUUAAUAGAGUACCUGAGUAGAAACCAUAUCUUCUGCGAAAUGUUCUGCCUUUUUUAUCUUUCGUCAAUAAGAAUUAAUGAAAUUCCUGUUAAAUAUUAGUUAUAUUGUUGAUUCAGUUGCCCUGCUACCGAAAGAAGAACAUAUGAAUCGGCAUAUCUCUCUCUGCUUCGAAGAAUUCUUUGCCGAGAGAUUCCAAUAGUAAAAAACGAAAAAAGAAUGUUAAAGAUCCAUCAAAAUGCUUUUACUAGGCGGCAAUAUUUUAUCAGGUAAAAAGUGUGUUUCUGUCUACUUAUAUUUCCUGGUGAUUCAAAUUUGAAACAUUCUUCGCUCCAGUUCAAAGUUUAAACUAAUACAACACAAGAAAAAGUUCUUGUCCAUGAACUUCUGCUUUGGAAUCUAUCUAAAGAAUACAAAAUCCAGGAUCAACCUUAAGCAUUCGACUUCUUUACACCAAUUCAAUAUAUAUAGCUACUUUCUGUAGAACUAAAGCCCAGGCAUAUAUGUUAUCAGACUUUCCUAAUGCGAAGUAUUUUUCUUUUACUCAGAAACUUCAUUUUUGGAAUGAAUUGGAGCGAUAUCAAGAUAUUUGCCGUUCAAAUUACUUUUUGAAGAGUAUUAUGAGUAUCUGUGCUUGAACUAACUAAAUAAACAUCUAUGGUUUAUCAAAACAUCAGGGGGUUGGACUGUUUACUGAUCGGAGGUCAUGUUCUUUUAAGAGUUUAAAAAGCUAAUUAUAUAUGGAUUGGGUUGCUGGAUUAAAUAAGCAUGUGCAUGUAUUAUCAAGAAACAAUUUGCAGGUCAGCAGGUACAUUGUCGCUUAAUCAACUUUCUUGUGGUCCUUCUGUAUCGGAGUAUUAUUUUCGUGUUUUUCUGUUUCUAUCAUUGCUUCAGACUAUAAUUAAUUCUGAAUAAAAUUCGGAUAGAAUCAUAAAUAUCUAAGCAGCCUGCUUUCAAGGAUAUUUUGACGCGAGACUAAUGUAAAAUGCUUUCAGGGAUAUUUUGAUACGAGAUUGAUGGAAAAUACUGAACCCGAAUGACUGUGAAUCAGAGUCACAGCUACAAGGCAACAACAAUUUAAAGGUAAAAUUCUGCAUACAGGGACCUUUUCAGUUUUUGCUGUUUGAUGCGGAAAUCUUGAGUACCAGUAUAAACUUUAUUGAUAAUAAGUUAUGACUGAUGAAUUAAAAUAGCUAAAUACAUAGUAACCUUACUUAUAAAGAAGAACGAAAGACGUAUGCUAAAUAUGAUUACACCCUGGAGAUCAGAAUUGAAUACUUAACUUUAAAGAGACAGAGAGAUAAAAGAUGUAUCAUCACUAGUUCAACAAAUAGUUAGUACUGAAAUAUUGCUUCAGUGAUAGGGAUGAGGUGAAUUCAUCUCGUGCAAACGAUGGCAGCUAGCAGGAGGAUAGCGGAAUUGACACCGUCUUCUUCAAGAUUAGAACUGCUCCUCUUGAAUUUGCUAGCUUUUCCUUUGUUGCAUUGGAGUAGCACUGUUUGUUGUUGAGCGUUCAUGUUCUGGUGAUGCUCAUACAUCUGGAACAUGAUUUCUUGAUUCUCCUUGCCUGUUUCUUCUUGUUGCUUCCUCAUCUUCUUCGUCGCUUCAUUCACCUUCGACACCAUUUUCUUUCUGAUAAGAGGGAGUUAGAGAUUUUAU
This 66847-nucleotide long non-coding RNA is filed under the name Daucus carota (carrot). RNAcentral describes it as "long non-coding RNA (DCAR_LNC001472)". Lineage: Eukaryota; Viridiplantae; Streptophyta; Magnoliopsida; Apiales; Apiaceae. The record is from RNAcentral.